UCAACUAUUAAGCUGCGAACAGAAGACACCAAGCGACAGUACAUGCUUUUAAUGAAUACAAUACGGCAAUGAGCACAUUCGGUAGGAGCCAAAGAAAGCAUAAGAACUCUGGGUCCCCAAACUGUUGGGCAGGUCCCCUACGUACGAUUACCUUGCGGGAAUUGAAGCCUUGAUCCGAUGCUCUGAAGAGGGUUCGUUAAUUGAUCUUCCUGCAGUUCUUCCUGAUCUCGCCGUUGGAGCCUGUGAGGGGCUUGAUGUCGCCCAUCUUGAUCAUUCCGGACACGAAGUCUGAGAAGAAGGUGCCGGUGCUGCUGAUGUAGGCCUUGACCAGGGAGUCGGUGGAGUCACUGACGUUGUACAGCUGCUGAUCCGAGUGCAGGAGGCCCUUGAAGCGGACGAGGUUCUUGUAGUAGUUGUUGUCGAAGGCGGUGGGGGUCUGCAGGUCCAGCGGCGCCAGGUUGUUGUCCCCGGAGCCGGAGGCGCUAGGGCAGUUCGCCUGCCUCUUCUUGGCGAAAGAGGCGUCGAUGUUGGUGUCGUUGUAGAUGUGUCCCCGGAAGGACGUGCACCGUGCUAGCCCAAUGGUGUGAGAACCUGGGAACGUAGAAGAAGAAGAAGAACAUGAACAACAGCCCUCGCAUUAAUCUCUGCUAUUUGUUUCAAUAACUAAGUCGUUAAGGAUUCUAAUUCGUCUUUAAGCCAUUGGCGUUCCUUUUAUGGUUGUGGGAGCACAUGCCUUUGCCGGGCAAGAGAAAGAUGACAACAGUCACGAGUGUAGGACCGGGCGAGCCCUGCCGACACACCCCCUGACCUCCACCAGAUACUAAAGCAGAAGCUAACACAACCUAAGAACUUACCUCUCUCCUCCAUAAUUUAUAUCCUUCCUAUGAGUAAGAUGAUUUUAUGAAGCACAAUUCUAUCAGUACGAUGUUUUUUUUUUUUCUUCUUCUUCUUCUUUUGAAUUCAUAAAUCCGCAUUAGUUUGUCGUAAAUUAUAUUACCAAUCUCAAAGCUUAGAUCCAACCCUACUAAUAAUCUAGGUUUCUAAGUUCUACUCCUGGGGUUGUGGCGUUUCCGGUCUCCAAUACUUACCACUGGUCAUUCUUUAGAUUCAAAGACAACCGAAUGAUAAAAGUUGGUCGAUGCUAAUCUAUGAUUCUUGUCUUUUUCUUCCUGAACAAUAGUUGAACCAUUUCGUGCUUUGGCAGCAGAUUCCCGUCUUUUUCUUCAUGAAUUGAAGUUGAAUGGUUCCAUCACUUUAUCGCUUUUCAUGUGCCAAUCGCAAGGUGACAACUCAUGUCUUUGUAAUAAGGGGCACCCUUGAUUUGACACGAUCACCUCUUGCACUGCUGAUGGCACAGAAAAGCGAGUGCAGAUUGAUAUAAUAAUCUGCAGGUAAUGUUAGACGAAUCUAUUGUGUUCGUAUAAUCUGGCAAGUAUGAUGCAUCGAAAGUAAGUGUUCUCUGCAUUGCCAUAGCUUCGAUCCUUACCAGAGAGUGCGACCAUGUCUUUAGUUGAGAGACCCUUGGCCGAGAACUUGGAGAUGAGAUUGCUAAGCGAUGAGGUCGGUGGGGGGAUCUGCUUGUUAGCUUUGGAUAUGCUUGCUCUCCUGGAGUCCCUCCUCCCCAGCUUCACAUCCCAGUUAGGCCCUCCGAGCUGCAAGAUGAGCUCUUCUUCGGUCCAUUAAAAGCUUACUCUAAAUGACAUAUACAGAUAGAACAUCAGCACUACCCACAAUGACUACUGAAUCUCUCGCAGCGACCGCCAAGAUAUCCGCACACGACACCACCCCCGGGCACGCCUUCUCCACCGCAGUCUUGAUUUGGUCUAUGACUUCGAACCCUCUGAUGGAGUUGUUGUUUGGCUUAGCGGUCUUCUCCCCCGUGAAGGUGGGCGUGUCAUCCAGCAGCACCGACCCAUCGCACCCCUGUAUACGUAUAUACAUGCGUACAUGAAACAUAGACAUGCCAGGCAAAGAAGAAGGAGACACAGCUGAUGUUUGCGGGCAAGGGAGGAUUACAAGAACAAAGCAGUCAUGGAAGAAGAGGCGAAGGACGGAUGCACCCAACCGCUUCUCUUUCGAGAUUGCAGACUGGACAACGGGUUUCACCGUGCUAAACAGCUUGGGGCACGACGAGGAAUAGAAGCUGGUGGAUAGCUGCGCAGAGGUGCCGCCGAGAAGGAGAAGUAGAACCAAGGCUGCAGAGGCAAAGACCGUGGAAGAGGAAGCCAUCGGAGCGCAGAGAGUUCCUGUGAUGGCCAGGCCACCACAUGUAUCAUUAGGUCGACAUAUAUAGGAGGGGUGCCCGAGUGGGUGUUGCUGUCGUGACGGCUGCAUCGUAAACCUACAGCGUUGGGAUGGUUUGCAUGGCACCAAAUGACAGCGUAGGUGUGGCAGAUGAAUUACCAGUGCCGGAGGGGAAAAGGACAGAGCUAUUAUUGUGUGACACAUCUUCGACAUGGAAAGAUCAUAGUGAGCUUAUUGCCUAAAUAUCAAGAAAACAGAUACGAUUAAGCUUUCUGUCACUCCCCACCCCUGAAAUUACAUUAUUAUUAUUAUUUUCGUCGUAGUAAUUCUUUUCUUGGAAGUCAAAGUGUAUUUAUUUAUUGAACGGUUAAACCCAUAGGCGUCCUGUGACUCGAGCACAUAUCACCUCAUCUUCCCUAACUUUUGCUUUCUCUCAGAAGGAAAAGUGACUAAAGGUGAAUCCACAGGCUUCAUGUGACUCAAAAAGAUGAGUCUUUCGUUCAUCUCCUUAGGAAGGAAUUCAAAUUAGAUGCAUUAAAUUAUUGAGAUUAAAUCACUGAUCCAUUUAAUAAUUGUUUAAUAUAUUUUAAGUAGCGAGUCAAUGACCCACAUGUCAAUGUCAGCUAUCUAACAAUCCAACCUGUCGGUUCUCUGUAGACCGGAAUCAAUUACACCGAUGCUCAAAUUAAUAAUAAUAAUUUAUCAGACUCUUAUAAGUCAAUUCAUAUUUUUUUUCAAAUACUCUAUCGAUCAUGUGUUGCGUUUACUAUAUUUUUUAUUGUAGGAAUAAAAAGGCAACAAUUAUUCUUUUUUCUUUAAGCGUUAUAGUGGGUUAGUGGUUCUAAAAGAAAUAAUACAUUAAUUAAAACCAAUAGAUUGUCUAUGAUAUGGAACCUUGACACAUGAAGCUAUGUGACAUAUGAGCUAACCGAGUGCAAAAGUAAAAGUUGCCAUCAAUCAUUUAAGUUGGUGUGUGAUGCAAUCUACAUGGGGUCAACCAUAUCUUUCUUGCCUUCCCCAGUGCAUGGCAUUUCCUUGUAGGUAGCCAUGUCAAGCCAGAAGCUGCUCCACUGCCAACACAUUAUUAUGCUUGUGUUCUCAUCAAGUUCACAACAGCAAAGCAGUAGGGACGAAUGCCGGUUGUCAUUUUCUUGCGUCGAAGUCUUAUCAACUAUAUUAAACCAUGUUAUUUUCAUGCCAAAAACAAGAAAAAGUAGAGAAAGCCGAUCCAAAAUUAAAGACCAAAAUUAAGAAAAAGUGGAGAGUCACACGGCUAUUAUGCCACCGAAAAUGACAAAAAGCCAAUUCAUGAAUAUGUCACGUUGAUUAAAUUAUAAUAAAUAAUAAAUAAUAUUUCUUUGACCACUAACAACUAAAGAAGGAUGUUCGAUGGAUGACAUGAGAAAUUUUUUCAACAUCAAUCUUCGUACAAACGGAGGUUAAACAUCACAUCACAUCACACACGAUCGUAACUUUAAAUAUGACUAAUUAUAGAUUAUCCUUUGUAAUUAACUUUUAAAAGUUAUAUUAAAAUACAAAUGUAAAAUAUUUAAAACUCCUUUCUCUUUUUUAUUUUUAAUCCUAUAAAAUUAUCUCAAUGUUUUACUUUCAUAAGUAUAAUAUCUUAAGGAUUGAAAUACUAAAAAUAACUAAUUAACUCUUUUGAACAACACUAGUUCUCCAAAUGGAGGGUUAGAGUCGGUCGUCAUGGAGUUGAACAAGAUAAGAUGUAAAGUAAAUAAUUAUGGGCGAAUUUUUGAGAAAAUUCUUUUUUUUUUCUUUCAAAAAUAUCUAAUUUUCUAAUGAUAUUUUUUAAUAAAUAAAAUACCUUCAGUCACUUAUUCUCUCAUAUUUUUUUUUCAUUUUUUUCUAUGGACGAUUCAAUUACAGUAUUUUUAUAUUAUAUUAAUAUUAUCAAUAAUAGUGGAAAAACAUUAACCAUUCCACUCGGGAGACAUCCACAUGCAUCCGUUGGACGCUCCCAUCAAUCAUGUAUGUUCCCAUGUGGUGGAGCCAAUUUGGUCCAUCGAGCAUCCCGAAGACGACGUAUUAGCAUCGAUUGCUGCGGGGCCAUGUCAUGUACUAACCUUUGACAUUGGGAUCGAUCGUCAACAUCACCUUUCACCUAUGCAAACCAGCCGUCGGACAGAGAAAAGCCACGCAACAUCUGAGUUCUCACAUGCAAUCUUCUUUCUCUCGUUGAUUCUACCGGAGUGAUUUUUUGGGUAUUGUUUUUGCUGAUCUCGUUGUGGCAUUUCGACAAGCAGGUUGAUGUUGCUGCCCUGGCCCCUCCGACACGGACGUCUGUUCGAUUCCGAAGGUCUUGGCUCCACUGCCUCUGAAGGUAUACGCAAAACGAAGAUAGAACGCAUCUUUUCCCCUCCAUGCUCAAAACUAACUUCGUAAUCUUGUCGGCAUCUUUAUGUUCAACGCAUGCUUGGCUACUUGCAUUAGGAGCUUGCUGUUCUUAAUGAAAUAAGUGAUGUCAAAGGAUUAACCAUGUCGGGCAGUUACUUUGGUUGUUGCAAAUGAACUCUUCCACUCUUGAAUGCAUUAUUUUCAUGUUUUCUUGCAUUUGAUGGUACAUUUGCUGCUCCAAAACCAAUUAUGGUCGCCACCAACCCAUAGAUGCACCUCUGUGCUGCGAGGGAGACUUUGAACGUUCGACGGUGCAGAUACUCUGCUACUGCUUGCUUUUUCGUUGUGUUAUUUUUCACCAAAGGUUCUGGAUUGACAAGAUGCUUUCAACUUUGAAAUAGAUCUGAUGAGUGAUCUCUUGAUCAUGAGAAGUCUCAAACAAUCAAGUCAUAUAUGUAAUGAACAUAAAUUCCUGAUCCUAAUUCUACUCAUUGUUGGCUGUUAUCCUGUGCGAGGUAUUUCGAUUGAAAUUCAACUUGUCAAGAUAUUUUUUGUUUUAGUACUUAAAAGAAUAUCUUUGUGAAUCUUUUGUAGAUAUUUGUUGCUAGUAUUUCUUCCUUGAUAGUGCAUUUACCCUAAAGAAAAGGAGGAACCUUUUUUUGUUCUUGUUGGUGCUCAUUCUAUUGUGGUGCAGAUGAUAUUUACACUCUCUACUGCUCUUAUAACUCUUAUUGCUCUGUACUCAUGGAAAUAUACGACAGAUUUCAUAUCUAUAUCCCCAAGGAGUUUCAAGAUAGAAUCCUGUCUUAUAAACAGUUGAUGUGGGUUUAACGUACAUAGUUUUGUUUGUAUACCUAAUGAUGUUCGAUAACAUUUCCUGCUUUGGAAUUAGUCAAUCUUUCGUCUCGCAUUAGUUUCUUGGAACCUGUUUGUGUGACUGCAAUUUAGUCUUGUGCUUUGGUUGUAAAUGUGGAGGAUAUCUGUCUUAGUGUACGGUUGUGCUCCUAAUGUUGUCAUAUUUCUGUUUCUUCAUAUGUAUAUUUCAUUUUGCUAUUGAAGUAUCAAUUUGGCAUUAUUGUAUUUCUUUACUUCGAGUCUUGCAUUAUAUUGGCUCAUAUCUAUUGACAUAUCCAUUUUUCAAUGUCAUGCAUGGCUUCUUAGAUAUGAGUCGUUUGUUACUAGUGAGUUUUACAUUAGCAAAUGUCUACUGAUAAAACUUGGGCCUUGCAAGCAUAUUAGGCAAAAAAACUUAGAGAAGUUUGCUGCCUAUCAAGUCUUGAAAGGGCCCGUUUGCCUCUCUUAUACUGGAUCUUGUAAGUGAAUCCUGUUUAAUCUUCUAAUGUCUUAUGCAUGUCAUAUGCUAUCUACCAUAUUUUAGCAUCAUGUCUACCUUACAGCAUUCCUAAAUUGUUCACCUUUUGCAACAAUCUUCUCCUUACCAAUCGAGAUUCCUUUUCUUAGGAACCAUGAACUUGAUCUCUACUUCCUUGCUCAGAAAUUGUUGAAGCUCAGACACAGUUCAACUUCAGUCCCUUGCAGUUUAGGACUCUGUAAACUUAGUCGACAAGUUAACUAACCUAAUAUUUCCUAUAUUUUGCCACAACAUGCUAGAAUUAUCACGCCGACACGUUUGAUGUUGAAGUCUAAUGUAAUACUUUGGUUUUCAUAUUGCGUAAUCAUAUUUAGAUGUGCUUCGAGUGUAACACCAUUUUCAUGAAUGAUUAGGUGCAUGAAGCUUGCAGAAGUUUCAUCAUUUUCAUUUUUUCACAGUUAUAUAAGAUAUCAUAUGCAUUUUUCCUUUGUAAGUUUUCUUAACAAAACAUUAUAAAAACAGACGUUUAGGUGAUGCAGGUUUUGUUCUGGAUCUUGAAUAAAUUUGUCAUUGACUCGAAAUCAAAAUCCACUACAAGAGCUGUAAUCUUGGUAAGAUUCUGUAUAUGUUAAUCUGCAAACAUUCUUGAAGUGUGUUAAUGUGACCCUCAAACUCAACUACAGUAUAUAGAAACUUACAAACAAAAGAUCUGAGAUACAGCAUUGAUAUGUAAAAUAAUGUUUUAGUAUCAACACAAGGUUGAUCAAGUUCUACCUUCUUUAGUUAAUAGAAUUAACAUACAAUUGUUUUCCCUAUUGACAUCUACAAUGACUAUCAAUGUAGAUGUUUCUGACAAUAACUCUGGAGCAACAGAGUCCAGUUACUAUAUGAAUCUCUUGUUAGAAGAAAGUUUAGUAAAAUUAUUUAUGGCAAUCUAAAGAUUGAAAUUUUCAAUCAAUGUAUAUCUCUUUGCAUAAUAUUGAUGACAUGAUAUGUAUGAAGCCUUCCACGAUGUGCAUAUCUCUUUGCAUACUUGUCAAACCUUGUUUUUCAGAUUUAUUUAAUGAAGAUAGAAAUGAGCUUCUAAUCAUUCCAUGGUGGUGGAAACUCAUUCAUGAUUAUGGACAAGGUAUUCUGAUCCUUCUUGUUGUCUCUGCUAAUUCUAUUACACUGGCCUAAUGCCUUGAACUUGUUUCAGAGCCCAAGGGAUUGUCAUAGACAGAGAAGAGUGAGCGAAAAUAAGAUAAAUGGAGAAGAAAACCUUGUGAAGCUUCGAAAGUUGAGUUUUUCCAAUUGGUUUUGAUUAGCUUAAAUCUCAAUCGUAUUCUUUAUGAAGUUAAAUGCAGGGCUGCUUAUCCAUAUGGCUUCGGAGCUGCUUAUACAACAUGAUUAUUUCAUCUGUCCUCUAAAUUAUUAAGAUCAAUCUGUUGUGACUUUGAAGCACUUGUCUGGGAACAUUAAAAUUGGGAAUUAGUGCCUCAUUUUAAUUUUUAUUUAGGAAACUCUAUGAUAAAAAAAGUCGACUAUAGAUGGUUACAGAGAACCGAGAUUAACAUCUGUCGUGUUUGUCAUGGUUGAUGAAGAGAAGUUUGAGAUUUACAUAAUGAACAAGUUUGAGAUCAAUAUAUGUCAUGUUUGUCAAUAAAUAAUUAUUUCUAGGGUUAGCCCAAUAGAGUCGCUACUUUGGAAUCUCAAAGGGUGGAAAGGUUCCAUAGAUAAUCUUUUUUUUGUUUUAAGUCAGAAAAUUUAUUAUGUGAUUUUGAUAAGGGAUAUAUAAAUAGUAAAAGAUAACAGAGUGACUAUUCUUAUCACCUUUGUUUUCUCCUUAUUUUUUUUUCUUUUUUCUCAUUUCUCAUAUCAUAUAGAGAUAUAAAUUGGAUGGUGUCAAUAUAUUAUCAUAACAAUAUAUUGUCAGAGUGUGUCUCAAAUCUUUAAUAUAUUUAUAUUAAUUUGCUCUGAAUGAUUAACCUUUUUUUGGUAUCACACACUAAAAUAGCAAGUUUAUAAUAUGAGAGAAUGUGUCGGAAUGAUUCAAGUUCGAUCUUAUAUAGAAUAAAUAUUUCAAUGUUUAUUAUUAGAAUAAUAUAUUGAAAUCGAGGUGCUAUUCCGAGAUAAAAUAUUAUUAACCUAAGAAUGUCAAUAUGGAUAUAUCGACGAUAGAAUACCAUGUAAAUACCGAUGUGAUCACAUGUUAUUAACAUAUGAUAUUAACAUGUAAAUAUGGUGGACUUGGAUUUGGAUUUGGGUAACUUACGAUGGAGUGGUAGUGGCAAACCCCUCGAGAAGUGAAUGGGUGGAUCGGUGCGUGGCCAUGCCAAUGAUUAGGGUGGUCGAGCAGACUCGUGAAUGGAAUAAGGGUACGUGCAUGGUUUGUCCCUAAUGGCAUGCAGACAACCUAGUAAGCCACAAUGGUGUGAGAGUCAUCACCACAACCAUCCAACCACUGUACGUAUUGCUAUCCUCCACCUCCCACUGAGCUGUCAUCGACGUUGUAUCACGGCGAUGUCACGAGAUGCGGUCUGUCUCAACAUUUUGGUGUCACUAUCCAUCCAUAUACAUAUACAUAUAUAAAUAUACACAAACAUGUACGCGCAUCAAUGUAUGUGCUAUGACACACGGUUGGGAGAAAUGUUUACCUCUCUUCUGGGCUUGACACAUGUCCAUCCCGUCAGCAUAAGGUGGUCAAGACCUUCGGUCAUCAUUAGGUUAUGUCAAUAUUUAUCGAAUAUAAAAGAUUCAAAAAAUAUUCCUUCACUCGGUAAAAUAUUUUAAUAGGUUAAAUCAGAUAUAUAUAAAAGGCAAACCAAACCUUAAUAAAUGGAGGUCAUAUAAUAUUCACCCUUGUCUCCUAUUUCAACCAAGAGCUUCUCGGUUGUAUAAAUAAAAUAGAAAAAAGAAACUUUAUUAAAAAAGCUUUAUUAAAGAAGAAUACAUUAACAUGUUCCUCUCCUGUUUAUACAGAAUUGGAGGGAGGAUUUUUCAAACAGAAUAGAGGAUUUCUCUCAAUAAAGUAGAGAGAUUUCCUCUCAUAUAGUUGAGGAAAUCUUAUCUGCUAUCAGUAUCAUAAAAACACUUUUUUGCAUAUAGAUCCAAAUCAAGUCAAAUUGAUUUUAUUAUCAUCGAUUGAUAGAAGAUCAUGAUGGAAGCAGAAUAAUAUCUUGUAUUUCUUAUAUCCUCAAUAAAUCUAUGAUUUGAGGAUCAAUUAUAGAUUUAAAUGUGAUUGAGUAAUUUAAGUGCAUGAUCAAGGAAAACUCAAAUUUUGUAUAAAUACUUAUUAUCUCAAUGAAUAAAAUUGCUCCUCUUCGUAAUAACUUUUAUUCUACAUGGUAUCAGAGUUUUCUUGCUUUAAGCACGAAUGACUUCCUUCCUCCUUCGUGACCCACUCUCAGAGCCCAAGCAAGAGCCCUCCUCAAUCACUACUCCACCCUGAUUGCUACAAUCACCCUUUCGCGACCUGCAUGAUAGAGUUGAUCAGUCCUUCGACGAUGCAGAUAUGAUCUGCUACCUCUACUGAUGUUGAUUUGAUCCAAGCUUCCGAUGAUUGUUCCCCUCUCCAUUGCUAAUCUAAUUAGUCAUCCACCUCGCUGAUCUAACCAGUCCUUUGGCAAUCUACAAUAGAUCAUUCCUCGCUUCGACAACAUAUCUCAAUGAGCCCUCCUUCAAUGUAGGUCUCAGCCAAAGAAGUAACCACCCCACUCUCCAUCAUUGAAUCACUCAAAUUAUAUGAUGAUAGCCCUACUAUGGAUCCUACAUAGUAUCGACAAGUACUUUGUUCCUCAUAGUAAUUAUCUCUUACAUGUCCAGAUAUCUUGUUUGUAGUUAAUAAAUUAUCAUAAUUUAUGUAUGGACCCUCUAUUAUAUAUUAGUUUACACUAAAACGUAUUAUGUGGUUUCUUAAAGACACUCUCAUGAACUUUUUCUACAUAAAUACUCUUCACUUCAUCUUCAUGCUUUCAUCGACACUGAUUGGGCAAACAAUACUGAUGAUAGAAUAUUUACGUCAACAUAUACUCUAACUCACAAUCUGAGCAGAUAAGUACUAAUGCUAAUUAUAUGUAAAAUAUAAAAAUUAUAAUAGAUGACUUGACUUUAAUAGGUUAUCCUCUAAGUGAUGAAAAAGUUAUUGUCUAUACUCUCAAUAGCCUAGGAGAUAAAUAUAAGGAACUUACGAUAGUAAUUCUGGCAAGAGACUCACUUAUGUCAUUUGAAGAAUAGUAUAACAAGUUAAUUGAUAAUGAAACAUAUCUAAAAAAAGAAGAGAGGAUGAUAUAACUAAUUAUCACAACUUAAGUCGGUCAACAUUUUAAAAGAAUUAAUAAUCAAAGUAAUAAAAACUUCAACAAAGGAUCCAAUAAGAUGCCUGAUAUACACAUGGGUAAUAUGCAGAGCCAUCAUCCUCCAUUACACUAUCAAUCCUUCAAUAGUGGUGAUAACUUUAAUCCAAAUAACUUAGGAAAUAUCUUACACUAUAAGUAUCAAUUGCACUUUUACUGAAUCACUCAAAUUAUAUGAUGACAACCCUAUGAUGGAUCCCACACAGUACCGACAAGUAUUUGGCUCCUUACAGGACUUAUAUCUUACAUAUCUAGAUAUUUCAUUUAUAGUCAAUAAAUUAUCAUGUGCAUUAAUUUUCUACUAUGCAUUGUCUAUAGUAAAACAAGUUCUGCGGUAUCUAAAGGGGACUCUCGAUCAUAGAUUUUUUUUUCGUAAACACUCAUCACUUCAUCUCUAUACCUUCGUCGAUGCUAAUUGGAUAUAUAACAUUGAUAAUAAAAUAUCUACAUCAACCGAUAUUAUCUUUCUUGGAGUAAAUCUAAUCAGUUAGAGUUUAAAAAAAUAGAAAACAGUUACAAAAUCCAUAAUUGAAGUUGAAUAUCAAGUCAUCGCUACCAUCGCUACAGAACUCAACUGGGUCACUAAUCGAUUAUAGAAAUUUGACACCACCUUCAAAUCCACUCCUAUAAUAUAUUGUAAAAUGUCAGUGUCACCUACCAUUACGCCAAUCCUUUGUUUCACUCAUGCAUGAAAUACAUUGCUAUUGACUUCCACUUCGUUAGAGAACAAAUUGUUAAAUAUUAACUAUGUAUUUCUCACAUACAUACAUUUGAUUAACUAGUAAACUCCCUCACAAAGCUCAAUUGCUCAUAAGAUAUUUCAAUUAUAUUGAUCUAAGAUUGAUAUCUUUGAAAAAAACUAAUAACAUGAUAGAAGAUCAUAAUAGAGACAAACAUGGAAUAAUAUUCUUUUCAUAUUAUAUUCCUCACUUCUAUAUAAAUCUAAUCAAUUGGAGUUUCAAGAAACAAAACAUAAUCGCAAAAUCUACCACUGAAGCUGAAUACCGAGUCAUAGCUACCACUACUACAGAAUUCAACUAGGUCACCAAUCUACUACACGAACUUGGCAUCAUCUCUCAAUCUACUCCUAUAAUAUACUAUGAUAAUAUUAGUGUCACUUACCUAUACGCUAAUCCGGUGUUCUACUCAUGCAUAAAAAAUAUUAUCAUCGACUUUCACUUCGUUAGAGAUCAAGUUAUCAGAUAUCAACUAUGUGUUUUUCACGUUCAUGCUUUUGAUCAAUUAACAGACUCCCUCAUAAAUUUUUUUCGCUCCAAAGACACUUUGAUUACAUCUUUCCAAUAUCAAUAUUUUUGAUGGAAGCUCAAUUUUACGGGCAUGAUAAAAGAUCAUAAUAAAAUCAAAUACGAAAUAACAUCUUUACAAUUUUUUACAUCCUCAAAUAAUCUAUAAUUUGAUGAUUAAUUAUAAAUUUAAAUAAUUAAUAUGAUCGAACAAUUUAAGUAUAUGAUUAAGAAAAACCUUUCAAUCAAACUCGGUAUAAAUAAGUAUCAUCCAAUAAAAUUAUUCCUCUUCAGAAUAACUUUUUUCCAUUCUACACCGACAUCCUCCGUAUCAUCGUGCUAAACACUUAUACUCUGCUCUUCACUUGGAGGAUGGAGGAGUAGUACAUCUGCCAGAGAGUCUGAAUCUUGUGGGUGGGAGACAGAAGCCAUAAUACGUUGCAAACAUCAGCCAACUAAUUAGAAUAGUUUUAUGAUUCAUACUCUGUCAUGCAUUUUUAUUGCUAGCUGGACUUCAGCAUCGUCUAAGAUUAAAUUAUUUGCAGAAUAAAAUGCGUGGGAUAAAUCCAUCUUUCCCAUCCAUUGUGUUCAACCCAACCUACAAAAUCCAACAUAUGUACAACAAUUAGGUGAACUGUCUAAUACAGAAUAGUUCAACCUAUCAUCCUCACUUCCAACUCCUGCCAAGUCGAAGCUGAUGAAUGAAUGAAUGAAGUCGAUAAGGGUAUACCCGUGAGGGAUGUUUGGAGGCAUUCACAACUCAGAGUGGCAAAGAAGAUCCAAAUCAGAACACGCGUCGCAUUGGCACACCCAAACAGCUCCCCCUCGACGCUUUCCUUUCCGCCUCUAUCACGAGCACCUCACUUCAGAUUCCUCUCCCUCUUUCCGCGUUACCCCACUCUCCUACUUUUAACUCUCCCUUAGCAUUUGGUUCCAAGUUUCUGCUUGCUCUUUGUGCAUGCAUAUGCAUGAAGCAGUACUUCACUAGCACUACGAGCUCCAUCGCUACAGCACGCCAGCAUCGUUCGUCUCACUCACGGUACCGACUCUAAGAAGACUGCCGGUAAACCGAUGCUAUGUGAAUGUUUGUAAGCGAAAGGACCAUCAUGUAGUGGUGGGAAUGGGUUUCGUGAGUCAUAAUUGGGCUUCAAUUAUUGCAGCUGGUGCAUCUCCGUUCCCAGUGGGCCAAGCAGUCAGCAGUUUGAUGGGGAAUGCGAUGUUGACCUCACUGACACUUUGUGCUGGCUAUCCAUUAUUACGUGGGAGCUCAUCCCAUGCUUUCUCAGGUAACAGCAAGACUGCAUGCGUGAUGUAACAAAAUAAUGAUUGGAUUGUUAGCUAAUAUUGCAAUUCAUCCCCGCGAAAGGUUUCUAUCAGCAAUGAUGUUUGUCCUUCUGUAACAGCUGACGUAGGCAAAGUAAUCUACGAUACCUCAACAUCGUGUCGGACUUGCCCUAUUAUAUUCUAUCGAAGCUACUCCUCCAGGCGUUUCCGGAAGAGGCCGGAGGAAGGGAAGCGCGGGGGUGGAACAAAGAAAGAUGACAUCCAGAGAUCAAAAGAAGGCUGUCUUGCAUGAGAAGCUGCAGCUGCUUCGAUCUGUCACCAACUCCAGCGCAGUAAUACGCUUAAUUUUCUCGAUAAUUGUUGUAUCUUGUUGAUGUAUUUGUGCUGCUGCAUCUCCACCAUGUUUGAAAGUCCUCCUACCAUUUUCUGACUCCUUAUUUCGCACUGUAAUUUAUCGAAUGACAUCCGAUUGUUCUCUUCCAUUUGCAAGCUGCAAAACCUACUGUCAUCCUAUAGUUCCUUACUGCUAACUUCUGACAUGGUCCCUUUUCCAUCCUCCUCUUCUAUUAGAGCAUGGAGUGGAUGGAAACCCAUACGAGUCGAUCGAUCCAAAUGUAUCGAACUCAUUUAUGCCAUCUAGACCAAGAACUGCAAUUAAUUUGAGAAUAAUUGGAAGCACAAACAAAUUACUUCAACAUCUAAACUCUACAGUUAUCCUUUAAAAGGUACCUUAGUACUGAUCGCAGAUACUGUCGUUCUUUUAUUCUCAGAUUUCAUGUACUUGUGGUAUUACACUUUGCCGCAUCAUCUAACGCUCUCCCCGUACGUAGCUAAGCAAAGCUUCUAUUAUAGUGGACGCGUCAAAAUACAUCCAAGAGCUGAAGCAAAAGGUGGAAGCAUGCAAACCAGAUCUCGCGGAGGAAAGCUCCCUCCCCAUGGUACUCUCCGGUAGUAGGCUAUAUGAACCUGGAAGAACUCACGGUUGGCCUGGUUUCACUUCUCUACAAUAUCCCUGCAGGUUACUGUCGAAACCCUAGAAAAGGGUUUCUGGAUCAAUGUAUUCUCCGACAAGAACUGCCCGGGCAUGCUUGUCUCCGUUCUUCAGGCAUUCCAGGAACUUGGUCUUGAUGUGCUGGAUGCAACCAUCUCCUCCGCCGACUCAUUUCGUCUUGAAGCUGUUGGAGGAGAAGUAAGCAGAUAAAUUCCAUCACCAGACCUCUAGUAUACUCCACACAUGAGCAUGCUAAUGCAUCUCUCAUCCUCAUAUAUAAUAAUACACAAGUGACUAAGGUGACCAAUGUUCAAGCUGUGCUCCUCCAGUAAUGAUCUACACAUAGACACUGUGCUCUCUCGCUACAUGCAUAAACGCAUUCAUUGAUAUGUCUGCUUGUGUACUAUAUGUUUGAUGUAGCUUUCUUCUCCUGCAUAAUUAUGUGUAUCUACAGAGGUGUGCAGACCACACUGCUCCUUUCGAUAUAUAAGAAGGUUUCCACACUCUUACAUGCAUUAACAUGUAUAAGAACAAGAUACAUGGCAUCAAGUCCAAAAGAAUUGGUCAUUGUGCAUAGUCCUACUGCAAACUAUAUCUCUAAGUGGAGAUAGGAUCUAUAUUAGGGUUUAUCAUGUCCCAAUUUUGUUUGAGUGAUGUUUAGUUACGUUCGAUAUCGACAUGAAACAAUACUUCACAUUUGACUUAUAAUUGGUAUAUGUAUAUAUAUCAUAUAUUGUCUUAAAACAAAGCAUAUGGAGAAAGAAACUCCGAAGCGCAUGCAUUAUUAAUUUGCGUAUAAUGUGAAAAAUACAAGAAUAAUGAUAGAGGUCGAAUUCUGCAUAGUGAGUGAACCAUUGAGAAUUCAAUGCUGAAUUCUGAGAUUUCAUUUCAAAUGGCAUUCAUCCUUCUCUUUUUCUUCUAGCAGCCGCAGAAUGAGAGCGUGGAUGCACAGAUGGUGAGGCAAGUGGUGGUGCAAGCUAUUAAGAAGUGUAUGGGAAGUUAAAGCAACGAGCAAAACCAGAAGGAGAAUGGAGGAGCAAAAGGGUCUCUAAAAGAUGGGAGAAAAAUAGUAGAACAGAAUUGUGCAGCUUUCUCCAAAGUGCAAGCGAGCAUAUAAAUUGUCUCUAUUGUUUUCUGUCAUUCUGCCUUCCAAUAUCUGCAACCAAAAAAAGCAGUCUUUUGCUGUCUCAAAGGACACAUAUAAUGAUGGAUUUGUGUAUAUAAAUAAGUAGAUAGCAGAAAUAAUUAAUUACUAAUAUUUUAUGCAAUAUCGGAUGCUUGGUUUUUGUUCUGACAUCCUAAUUCAUAUUGUCCUGAUUUAAUACUUUUAAUGCGAUAUAUGUAGUUAUUAAAAAAUAUUCAUGUGUAAGAUAAAAAUAGUAAAUAGUUAAAGAAAAUAUAAUUAACAUGAAAAUAAGAAAGCAUUAAAAACUUAAAUUUAUGGAUCAAAUUUAAUACAUGUCAUCUGACUCCUCUAAAUCCUUUUUCGAUGUUCACACAAACUGAAUGGCAAAAAGGUUUUCGUAGAUAUCGAUUUUGCCGAGUCAGUUUUGAAUCACAAUUAACCAUUAUCACGAUACAGUUUCGAUUCUCCAUGUUUGAUAGGCUCUCCCUGUAACAUUUGCAACAAAUUUGUUUAGAGAUUUUAUACCUGGUAUUUGGCACAUCAUGCUAUUUAAGCUCUAAUUAAAGAUGCUGCCCAAUGUACUCCUAAUGUACUAAGAUCACAUACAUGCUAAAGCAUGAUAAUGGCCUUUAUUUAUGUCGUCAAAUGUCCGCAUACGUGUGGGUAAGCAAAGCAGGAACCAAAAGUUAUACAUUUAUGAUUAAAUUAAAAAAAUAAACUAAUUUUUCGAUUGUGCACCUCUGAGAUUACGAAGGAGUUGAUUCAUAAUUGAUCAAAGUUUGGGGUUAGAAAGUUAAACAUCAAUCAAGAUCAUUGAUGGAGUCCAACAGAGCAUCGAUAUCCGGGGUCACCACCGCACGCCUGUCGAUCUCCCCGAGUACACAACAGCGCUUGUCUUUAGUAUUAAUAGCUACGACAUCUUGAGCGAAUGAACCGCAUAAACCAUGAGAAACCUGCAAAGAAGAAAUUGAAUCCUAAUUAGCAAGCAGGGCUAACAUAUCAGCUGCUUAGAAAAGAAUACAAGCAACAAAAAAUGCAACUCACAUCAAACAGUGUAUCUCCUAGCUUCAUCUUGACUUUCCCACUCUUGUAGACCAAUAGUUUACCCAUAAACCCCGGUGGCAGCUCCUCCAAUUUGCAGCCCUUCUUCAAUGCACGGUCUAUCUUGCCUGCAGCAUCUUUAGUGUUUGUGGUUGCAGCAGGUUGCUUUGGCAGUGGAAGGUUUGCAGGAAACUGAAAGAAGAGCAUUUGUGUUUCUUCCCUCUUCUCCUGCCAUGAUCGUCAUUGAGAUGCUAAUGAGAGCAAUGCAUCCGGAAGAGUAUGAGCUAUGCUAAAAAUUCAUACCAUCAGACCAAGUUCCCCGGCUGAAUCAAUUUUAGUUUCAUCCAUACCCAAGCUUGCUGAAGCCUCCCCAAAUUCCUCUUCAUCAAGAAUUUCUGAAACAAACCGGGCACAGCUGAAAAGUCUCUCCUUGCUGCAUGAUUGUGUAAAGUACAGUGGAACCAAUUUUUACCUGGGUUCCCAGAGUAGGGCCUUCUUAGGGGAAGUGUGCAAGGAUAGUAUGAAUGAUCAUAAUCCUGUCAAGAGACAAAACAGUAGAACUAUGAUGUCACUUAUAAAGAAUGAUUUGGUGGAAGUAAUGCUACUAUACUCACCCAAGGCUCGACAUAUUCUUUCUCAAAUUUCUGUACAUCAAGGCCAUCUACAUACCCCGGAAUUAAAAAAAAAAAAAACAGUUGUUCAAUGACUUGUUAGGGCAGAUCAAAGAGACAUGAAUUCAUGAUCAAAACGGCACCUGAAUCUUGGAUUCCUGUACCACGACCCUUGGGAAAUGACCUUGCUAACGAGGAACUUCCAUGGCCAAAUGCUACUUCUGACGGACCAACUGCAAUGAACAAACAGAUAACUGGACUUUAAAAGAAACAGUCAGCAUUGAGAAUCCUGUGAUCACAGACUCACAGUUUAAAUAUUCUGCAGAAGAAAUAUCAGUAAACCCUAUGAAUUAAAAAGAACAUUCUAUAUGAAUUAUGUCAUUUUGUGACAACUGAAUAGUGAGGAGGUUUUCAGGCCUUUGAUCUUAAUCUGUGGGCAACUUGUACAUAUUAAAUAAUAUUGAAUGUUCUGUACAUCACUGAGGAAACUGCACUAUGAAAAUCCAUAUAUUUCAAUCCAAUUAUGAAUAUAACUCGUAGAGGGCAACAAGAUAAUGAAUUGUGCAUUUAGGUCCAAUAAUAUCAGAAACAACUCAUAUUUGAGAGCUUUCCAACUCACAGAGAGACUUCUCAUGCCCAACUCAUAGGUCCAAUAAUAAAAAAACAAGGUGCAUUUUUCUAUAUGUGGCUUUUGCUUGCACCCGGAAUGAUUCAUUUCUCACAGAGGAAAAGAAUGUUUCUAAUUUACAAGGUGGAAGUAAUUAUAAGAAUGAUUGUGUCUUCUUCACAAAACAGAGGUAUCAUAAGGCUGCUUAUGUGCCAAUUUAUUACGUUCCAUAUUGUGCAACUUCUUGCUUGCACAUGAGAUGCUCUACUCUAAAUGGAGCAAAAAAAAGAAAAAGCUUUCUUGAAGCAUUAUGACAUAGGAAAAUUACAAUUUAGGAAUUAAAGCCUACAAUUAAUAUAAGAAUGUCAUGACAUUUUCUUUUUUAGAAAAGGAAUGAAACCAUUUGUUCUCUAAAGCAUGUCAGUCGAUGAAAAGAAACUACUAAGAGAAUAUGUUUUUUGGAGAAUAUACCCAAGGCAGAUUAAAAUAGAGUCCUUUAAGAACCAGAGUUGAGUAAUUUGUCUUACAGAAAGUUGAUUUGAGUAUCUCUAACCUUUUCUAUCACUCUUAGGAAAUCUCCUCAUGAGACCAUCGUUAGCCUGCUAAGACAUGGCUCCAAUCAAACAAAGAAAUUAUCGUAAAAAGGGCAGGGCGGACAGCUUCAAGUGGCUGAAAUAUUAAUUAAUAAUUACCUUCGCAUGGUUAAGCUUUGAGAGCAGUUCCUUAUCAACAACAUCAUCCUUGGUUUCAGGUUUUUCCCUACAAGCAAGCAUCAUGUAAGUUCCAGGAAAUGCAUUAAAAAUAUAGUGCUUUCAAUAAUCUACACCAUACGUUUUAGUUGUGAGAGGCUUUGGUGCCUUCCGAGGAGGUAUCUUAGGGGUGAACUUCAUCUGCUUAAAGGAAAUAAACAUAUAAACAAUCUAAACUCAGAGACUGAUCAUUAACAGCAUCACAGGGGGAAAAGAGCGAACACCUUUCGAGCAGGAAAUUUUGGAAGACCGUCCUGUUCUCCCUUCAUGUUAUAUCUUCUAAGAUUCUGAAGAAAAGCAGAGAAAGUUACAGGAAUCUGAAUAACGUAAGCAUAGACAUUAAAGAUUCAAAAGACAGUGAUAACAUCAAAAUUGUUUGAUCUAUAUCGUAUUUAUCAACACGUAAAGAAGCACAAGUUUCCGACAGGUUUUUGAUUCUGCAUCAAGAUCGAUUCAAUUAUCUAACAUGCAAGGACCGACAAUAGGAUUUCUUUAGCAUUGUUCGAGGAAGAACUGAUCUUUCCGAGAAGGCAUACCAGAAGAAGAAGUUGCGGUCGAUGAUAUGGGAAAGAAGAGAUCGAAAGAGGCGGCGUGGCUUCCUCCCACCGAACAACAAAGUGAUGCGGAGGGAAGGGUUUAUGGUUAUAUGGACUUCGUGGGAUGGGUUGCUACAGGAAAUUCGGUAUACUUCAUGGCGGGACCCAGUAACUUUGGCCUAUCACUGUCGUCUCCAGCUUGAUCGGGGAAUUCACGUAGGGUCCCGAGAGGCCGUGGACGACAGAACUACGUCAAGAUUAAACUUGGACAAGAGCUGGGCCGAUCACCCUGCCGUCUUCUGUAGCACGGCCCGAAGAUGUAUGAUACUGAUGGGCCAACGCAGUAGGUUGCCCCUCGAUAACUUCAUUGGGCUCUCGGUCUCUCAAAUUACCUCGUCUCGUCCGGUGUACUCCUCGUCUACCUCCUCCUCGCCUCUCAAUUCAAGGCCGGACACCCCUCCCACUCCCACGCCCACGGCCCGCCUCCUCUUCCGCUACUCGGAGGACUCGUCUCCGUUUAUCCGCUGGAAGAUGUCUCCGGAUCAAGGCCUGCGUAAAAUUUCAAUACCGACGUGUGUGUGUUUGUUGAGACCAGUUUGUUCUCUUUGGUGAAAACAUGCUCAGAUGUUGUUUGAGGAUAUGCCUGUGAAAAAUGUUGUCUCUUGGACUGGAUCAUUAGUGCGUAUAAUGGUGACGAGAGGCUGGAAGAGGCGCUUGACACGUUCAGAAGCAUGUUGGAUAUGUGUUUGAGGCCAAAUAGUUUCACUUUAGUCAAGAUACUGACUGCUUGUUUUUGGUCACUUUGGUCGAUAACAACAACAACAACAACAACAAAGCCGUAAGUCCCAACUAUCGAGAUAUACUAGAGUCAACAUGUGUGCUAAACGCGGAAGAAUGAAGAAGGCUUGCAUAAUUAUCGAGAUGUCCUAGAGUGCAAUGAUCUAUUGCAUUGUGGUGCAUCAGUUCUCCUGUUGGCUUGUAAAAUUUGUGCAGCUGCAAGGAGUAAGUGGGUUACAUACAAGAGGUUGGACUUACAGUUUUAUCUCCAUUAUCCAUUACAUUAUACAUCUGCAUGAUCUGUUACUGAACUCCCAACCAUAGACAUCGGUGCCAUGUGCAAGGCCUUUUGUUCGAUUAAAUCAUACUUGCCAGCCAAAGCCGGUUGAUUUAUAAAUACCAGGAUUAGUACAACUACCUUAUUGUCAUAUCAUGCAUUGUUAUCUUACAAUGAACAUCCAUGGUUAACUCUGUGUUAUUUGUUCUCUUUGUUUAACUACAGAUUCAUGUCGUUGACUCCUCGUUCGUGAGCCAAACAAGACCCGGUGAGCCUCACCUCAAAUAGCCAACUCAUUAGGACAUGCAUGCACCAAUCUUUUAUUUUGAUGGGUAAAAGUGUUCAGGUACAUCAUCUGCUAUUCAGAUUUCUUGCACCUUUUGUUCUACUUACUUGAUCUGGCUCUACUCAGAAAAUAUUUGCUGCGCAUUUCAUCUUAGUGCAAUUUUUUUUUAACUGAAUCUUUUGCAUGAAAAAGAAAAAUUUCAACUGUUUUAUAGUGCCCAAAAUUUAGAGCAAUGGGAUUCAAGUACUUAUUCACCCUUCUUGUAGCACAUUGUAUGCUAAAUUUGAUAAGGGGAAUACAAAUAAAGAAAUCACUCAUUUUUAUCAGGUACGGAAAUGGUACUAGCUCGGUCAUAUUUUAAUAAACCUCUCUUUGGUACUUAGUGUCGUCGGCAUUAGUUUUGGCAUUUCAUUAGCACCCUGACUCUCAUAAAUGAUUAAAGAAAGAGUUCCAUACUGUGAGAAUGUAGCAUGACAGCUAGUUGAAGGAACAAUAGGUUUUGGAAGUAGUAAACAAGUAUGUCACAACCAUCAAUACACUUCUUAGUUGUCACAGUGAUUUUUACGCAUACAUGCACCGAAUAUUAACUACAAAAGCAAUCCUUUUGGCAUCGAAAUUUUAAAGAAUCCAUAGAAACAAAUUGACUCAAGGUUAUUAUAAUUAACCAUCGCUUGGCAAGGAAUCAAAUUAGCUGUAGCUGACAACCCUUGGUAUUAAAUUCUGCCUCCCUGCUUCUGAGCUAGGAAAACCUACACCGUUCAGGAAUUAAACAUGAUCACUUCUUGUUUUUGCAUAUGAUUGAUCAUUCUAACAAGUAAGCUAUGCCAAAUGUCGAGAGAUAGCAACCUAAACACUAAAUCUAACAUCAGACUGAUUAGGUGCUCUGUGUGCAAUCAUCGAGCAGAAGCCUAUGUUUUGCAGGCUCUUAACAUUGUGGUUGAAGGGCAAUCUGCUGCAUUGCGAUGAUCCCCAAUAUCAUAUCAGAAGCCAUGGAUGCUUGCACAUGGUCACCAUAUUAAUUAAGAUUUGAUAACUUUGAACUUGGGAGAGAAGUCCAUGCUUCCAUGGAUUCCUAAUGAAAGAUUAAACAUGGUCAGAUCUGUCCACUUGCCAUCAAACAAAAUAUAUGGGCCACUAGGUGACCAUACCUUCAUUAUCUAUUCCUAAAAGGACAGUACCUUGAUCAAGACUUCUUUGAGGCCAAACAAAAGCUAAUCUUAUCAACCUUGUUGGCCAGUUAAAGGUGUGAGAGAACUGUUGUUAGUCUCAUCGAUAUGCAACAUCUAAAUUAAGGUGGAAAUAUGGCUUUCGGAUAACAAUUCUUUUUCUUUUUUUCCCUUUAUCUUUAGCAACUGUUUUACUACUUUUUCCUAGAGAAUAGAAGAAUAGCAACAAUGCUUUCAACAUUAAAUUUGAUGACAAUAUAUGCAAUAACGUAUUUUAGUCUGAAGAAAAUAUAUGCAGUGACUGAUAUGAAAAGAUCGGAUUUUGUAAUAAAAAAUGGAUUCGUUUCUUGGUUCUCUCCAGGAUGAUGUGGUUGCUGUUUCUCCAUCCACCUCUUCGCCAUGCCCAGCAAAGAGUUCAUGCUGUGUUAUGUAUCUCAAGCCAAAAAGUAAUCUCCUCUCUUGUCAUCAUCUCAUAACACUUGUAUUUGUUACAUAAUGAUAAAGAUUAUGAUACUAUGGUUCAAAGGGAGUAAAGUUUCUCUUUCAUUUCGCUCCAACUGAUGUGUCUUUUGUUCUCUGAAGAAUAGAUUACAAAAAGGAUUCACAACUUCCACUCGUUUCCAUCAAGUGGGAGGAAAAAGAUGAAGUGAUCACGAUUAUGUGUAUAUCCACAUAAGAAUAAGAGAGAGAGAGAGAGAGAGAGAGAGAGAGAGAAGCAGCAAGCCAUGCUCCACCACCCACAUGCUGAAGCGAAAAAUCUUAUCUCAGACUUCUGAUAUGCUCUCGAGAUGCGGCCUCCAUACGCCAACCCGCCCACUCCGCCGGCGGCGGUGACAUGCCUUCUUCUCCGAGACGAUCGCUGAGAGGCGGUCGUUGUCAUGGUCCGACUCCUUAGCGGCCACGUCGCCACCAGUUUUCUGGUGCCUCUUCUUCUUUCUCUUUUUGCCUGCAGGGCCUGGGAAUGCUGAUUCGGGAAUCAAGAAGUAGAUAUGGCCCCGCUUCAGGUCCGAGUCCGGCGACACGAUCAAGAUCUUGCGGGUGACUCCCUGGGAGCACGGCUUGCUGAUGAUGUGGUUCGGGUUGGCUGCCAGGAUCUCUCCGGCGGAGACCUGACGGCUGUACUCCUCGACUCGGCCAUUGAGAUGGACGAUUCGGAUGACGUCCAGCGCGCCACAGGGAAGAACGCAAGCCAAACAGCAUCUGAGGCUGUUCCCCAUGUUCUCUGCUUCUUCUGCUGCUUCUCUUCUUGUUGCGAGACUGCUAUAGGUUAUAUAUAGACGCUUAUCGCUGCAACUUCCAAUAAACUUAGUUGCCGCUUUAUAGAAUUGGUUGUCCAAAUUGCUCAUUAUAACCUCAUUUUUUAGCACUAAUAAAAAGGCAGAUUAAAACGAAUCGAAAACGCGUUUCAAUUCAAAAAAAAAUACUGUCAUGCAGGUUAACCCACUCGAGAGCUGCACAUCACUUUGAUGGUCCUGUAGUUGUAUCAUGACAUGAUUGGUCGCGCCUCAAACCUUACAUUUUAUGAGACAGAGGUAGCACCAUCAGACAUUGUCAUACAUAGAAGACUCGGCAAAAUAGCUUCGUUUACGUUGUUCGUAAUUCAGCUAAGCAUAUCAACAAACAACAUGUGAGCCGUCUUCCGACAGCUUGGAGUCCGGGAAUUAUUGGACGCGGUGGUUCCAAACUCGGGUACUCGGGCGCAUAUGGCAGGCGACCGAUUGAGGAAGCUUCGUGGCAUGAGGGGGAAGCGGGGUCACGGGCACCCAUCGUCGCUGUGUCCGCGAAGGACCCGUAUCGGCCGUCCAUCUCGCAGAGGCCCACCUUAUCCGACGGGGCACCCACCGCCGCUGUUGUGUCCGCAGCCCUGGAUGGAUUUCUUUUGCGUACGAAGGGACCGCAAGAAGACGAUGACGGGAGUGUACGAAACUAAGGUGACUUAUUGGGGGUUGGGACGUCUCCAACGAGCAGCAUAAUACACAGUCCAUUGGUUGUCGAAGACGAUGAGCAUCUCUGUCUUUUUGCCCUACAGGGAAACAACUUGUUCUGAUUAGAGAAGAACUUGCAUUAUACGUAGUGGUGUAGCUUAAAGUUAGUUACAUUGAAGAUAAGAGAAAGACUCGAUAAUAAGAAAGAGUGGUACUAUUAGUUUAUAUUUUAUUGUUGUCAAAUGUUUUAUCUUUAAACUAGCGUUCCUAAUCUAUACAUAUGAUCAAUUUUAGUAUUUUCAUAAACCAAACCAACUAAAUAUAAUGACUGAUGGGCGACUUUGCUUCGAUGAAAUCUCUUUAGAUUUUGGGUUGUUAAUUUGGGCAUAGGAAGGAUUGAGUUAAGAAAUCUCUUUCGAUUUUGAUCUUUGUGUAGGUGGUAUCUUGAUGGUUUGAUAUUUUCACAGCAUCUUGACAACUUUGCGCACGUGGGUUUAGACCACGUUAGGCUGACUAAUGACAUCUUACCAUAAUAUUUUUGACGCUAGAAAAAUGUUUUGAUAUAGCAGGAAUAUCUACUUGUUGAUCUUUUCAACAAAUGCUUAAGGGAUUAAACUUUACCCUAAACUUAUAAUACUUUCAUCGAAGGGGGUAGCAAUCAUAAUUUUCACAUAUUGAUGUGUCCACCUCGAUGUAAAUACUAAUGCAAUAUUAACACAUACUUAAAAAGCAGUCUUUUACCGACCUCGAAAGGUAAAAAAUAAUUUAAUUUAUAUUUUAUUUUUAUACAUGAACAUAUAUAUCAUUAUAAUAUUUAUUUUUAUGAUUCACACACAAAAAUAGAAUUUAAACUAUUUACUUUCUAAAAAUAACAUAAUUUAUUAGAAAAUAUUAAUUUUAAUUAUUUCUUUAACCAUACUAUACAAAUAAAGAAGUUAAUAAUUUAAAUAAAAAAAAUAUAUGAUUUAUGAUAAUUAAUUUUAUAUUAAGAAAAAUAAAAUCAUCGAUGAUUAAAUUUCUGAAUCACGUAACAUAAUCUCUAAUUUUUUUCCGUCUCGAGAAACAUAUUCUCUCGCGGCUUGCAUCCCACUGUGACGAACAGAAGUGGGCUUAUUUCUCGGACACAAUCCAUGUAGUAGUAACCCGUGUAAUCCUUCUGCACGGAAUGCAGCCCAUUCAUCUGAGAUUUAACUCUAACCAUGGAGUUCAUUAGUAAUUGGCUCGCGGGAUGCGUCCACGUACGUGUUGGACUUGAUCAACACCGAUAAAAACAGAGUUCCUUCGCUACUUCUCCAAACGGCGUGUCACGAGCAUCCGUCUCGCGAAACGCCAUCCUCUCUCAUCCCAGCCGUCGAAUCGAUCUUUUCCGUGUUCUAAAUACCUCGCUGUCCCUCCUCUCGGUGCCAUCGGACCGCAAUGAGAUUGAGAUUGCGAUUGCCGCCGCCGCUCAGACUGCCACCCGAUCGGACCAAACCUUUAUACUGUAUCCGUGCCUAUUCCUUCUCCUCCUCCUCCUCCUCCGCGGCCGCCGCCGCUGACGACGACGCCGACCUCCGUCGCAGCCUCUCCCUGCUCCUCUCCCCUGCCCCCUUCGAUGCUGCCCUCUGCCGCGAGACCCUCUCUCGCAUCUGCCCUCGCCGCCUCGAACGCCUCCUCCUCGACCUUCGCUCCUCCCUCCACCCCGAGCCCGCCCUUCGCUUCUUCUCCUUCGCCACCGAUCACUGUGGCUUCAUCUUCACCCCCCGCGCCUACGCCCUCAUCCUCCACUCCCUCUUCCGAUCCAACCUCGCAUCUGCGGCCCGGGUUCUCCUACUUCGCAUCCUCGACGCCCGCGCCGCCGUCCCCCUCUUCCUCGAUGACCCGGAUCAUUGGUUCUCCGAGAUCAUCCACGCCCUUGCUGACACCGUCCCCUCAAGCGACUCGCCCGCGAUCGAUCUUCUUGUCCACCUCUGCUGCACCCAGCUUCGUGGCCGAGGGCUCGCCUUAAUUGCCUUCAGAAUCCUCGUCGAUCGGGGGCUCUGCCCGUCUCUGAAGACCUGCAAUUUUCUUUUGGUAUCGCUGGUGAAAUCCAAGAAUUUAGAGGAUGCUCGCAUGGUUUUUGAUCAAAUGCAGCAGUUUGUUGCUCCUGACGUCUACUCGUACACCAUACUGAUUGAUGCCCUCUGCAAGAGACGGAAUGUUGAGGAAGCUAUGGCAUUGUUCUCGGAUAUGGAGAGGUCCGGAAUUUCUGCAAGCGUUGUAACUUACAAUGCUCUGAUUGAUGGACUUUGCAAGAGAAAUAUGUUGAAUGAGGCAUUUGCAUUGAAGGAGAAGAUGAUUAGAAUCUCGAUAAAUCCAAGCAUCGUAACAUUUGGUAUUCUCAUCAAUGGCUUGGUUAAAUUGGAUAGGUUUGGCGAUGUGGAACUUGUCCUAACUGAAAUGGAAGAGAUUGGAAUUCCACCAAGUGUGGUUAUCUAUAAUACAUUGAUAUAUGGGCACUGUAAGAUGGGACGACCCACAGAGGCAUUAAAGUUGAGGGAUGAAAUGAUGGCGAAAGGUAUAGAACCGAACUGUGUUACCUACAAUAUAAUUGUACAAGGCUUGUGCGAUGCAGGGGACAUGAAGCAGGCUGAGUAUAUUCUUGAUGAAAUUCUGUCAAAUGGGAUGGAAGCAAAUGCUGGGCUGUUUGGUUCUAUUAUUUUCUGGCUUGUCACUAAAGAACAAAGAUUAGAUUGUGCGGUGAGGCUACUUGGAGAGAUGCUGCUGAGGAAUUUAAGGCCUAAUGACUCUCUUUUGACGGCUUUGAUUGUUGAGCUCUGUAAGCAAGGGAAGCAUCGAAACGCCAUAGAGAUUUGGUCCAAGAUGUUGGAGAAAGGAUUUGGUGUGAAUAUUACAACUUCCAAUGCAUUGAUUCAUGGGCUUUGUGAGUCAGGAAACAUCAAGGAAGCAAUAGGGUUCCUCAAGUCAAUUCUCGAGAGGGGAAUAGCACCAGAUAGAGUGACAUAUAAUAUCUUGAUAUCUGGAUGCUGCAAAGAAGGGAAAAUCUGCGAGGGGUUUAAACUAUGGGAUGACAUGAUCAAAAGAGGAUUUAAACCAGAUAUUGUUACCUGGAACACUCUAAUACAUGGUUUAUGCCGUUUAGGUAGAAUGGAAGAGGCUAUUGGACUUUUGAAUCAACUAAAGGAUGAAGAUUUGGUUCCGGAUCUUUUUACAUGCAGUAUGAUUAUCGAUGGCUAUUGCAAGGUUAAGGAAAUUGAUAAAGCGAAAAGCUUCCUAAAGGAGAUGGGUACAUGGGGUUUAGAGGCAAAUGUUGUUGUCUACAACUCACUUGUGAGUGGGUUUUGCAAGAAUGGCAAUAUUACUGGGGCUUCUAAUCUUGUCGAUGAAAUGAAAAGUAAUGGUAUAUUACCAAAUUUUGUGACUUAUAGUACCCUUAUGCAUGGCUUCUGCUGCACUGGAUAUUUAGAGGAGGCUAAAAGAAUUUUUGAAUUGAUGAAGGAGAAUGGUUUGGGCUUGAAUGUGGUGACCUAUACUACACUUAUUGCUGGAUACUGUAGGUCAGGUCAAAUGGAUGAAGCAAUCAAGGUCUACAAGGCAAUGUGUGUCGCUGGUGUAACCCCAAACAAGUUCACAUAUACAGUAUUGAUACAAGGGUAUGCUAAAAUGGGGAAUCUUGAAGCAGCGUCUAAACUUCUCGACGAAAUGGUGAACAAUGGUAUUGUUCCUGAUUCUGUCACAUUCAAUGCAUUGAUGUCUGAAUUCUGCAAGGAAGGUAGAGUAGAAGAGGCUCUUAAAAUAUCUGAUCAAAUAUCUCAAAGAGGUCUGGCACUAGAUGAUACUGAUUAUACUACUUUAGUUCUGGAAUAACUUCUUCUAGGCAUCAAAAAGAAAUUGCUUCUCCACCUGAAGGAGGUACUAUCAAGCAACUAUUUUUUAAUAUGUCCUAUUCAUAAAAAUACCUUUUAGGACAGUAAACGUCUUCUCUACCUAUUUCAACUUCUAGAUAUAUCUUACAGGGGAUUGCUUAUAAUGUUGUAGAGAAUGUUGGGGAUAUUGGUGAGAUGAGAUCUGAUCUUUUUGGAUCAUAUGCUGAAUCGUCAUGUGCUGCCCUUGUUGUUGCCUCUAUCUCUUCAUUUGGAGUCAACCAUGAUUUUCCUGCAAUGUGCUAUACUUUGCUUAUUAGCUCCAUGGGCAUCGUAGUUUGUUUAGUAACUACUCUCUUUGCAACCGACGGUUGGUAUUGCAAUUAUCAGUUGGAUUGCUCUCCCUUUGACAUUCACAAUUUUCAGUUUUGGGGUGACCAGAAGCAGGCCAAAAGCUGGUUAGUAUCAUGUUCCUUUUAUUUCAGUAAAUGGCAAGUUUUUAAUCUAAUCGUCAGAGUAGUUUAGGGAGUUAUUUUAUGUGUUGCAAUUGGAUUAUGGGCUGACUUCGUUAUUGGGUUUGUUACCGAAUACUAUACAAGAAAUGCAUAUGGGUAAGAAAUUGGUUUUUCUAUUCUGCUUAACAUGAGCUACCAUGAUCUGGUUUUUAUAUAUUGUGUCCUUUCCUUACUACUUAUUUCUCAGUACUGUACAAGAUGGCGCUGAUUCUUGCCGGACUGGAGCCACUACUAGUGUCAUUUUUGGACUGGCUUUAGGAUACAAGUCUGUCAUUAUCCCAAUUUUUUCCACUGCUGUCAGUAUAUUUGUUAGAUUUAGUCUUGCUGCCAUCUAUGGUAUUGCUGUUGCUGCUUUAGGCAUGCUGAGCAGUAUUGCUACUGGUCCGGCCAUUGAUGCCUAUGGGCCCACCAGUGACAAUAUUGCUGGAAGCAUUGCUCAGAUGGAUGGAACGAGCCACAGGUUUCAGGAGAUAACAGAUACACUUGAUACUGCAGGCAACACCACCGCAGCCCUAGGAAGGGUAUCAUAAUAUUAUUGCUCAAGUAGUUUUCUGCAUUCAAUUAACUGUGUUAGAUCUGCUUGAAGCUUGGGGAGGUAACCUGUGCCUAGGUGCUAGUGACAAGAACAACCUUGGUAUGAUGUAGAUUUAUUUUAUUUUAGAUGGGUUGGUGCACAUUCAUGCUAUCUGGUUUGAAUAUGAUGUUUGCAUCUAUAUUUUAGAUUUUUUUUGUUUUUUUGUAACUGCUUAUGCAGAUAGUAGCUUUGGUAAAACUGCUACCCACAAGUUUCAGUGCUUUUUGUAUUAGCUUUUUUGCCAUGUAGAACGCUAAUUGGGAAAAUAUUUUCAGAAGAAGCCACUUUUCCAAAAUUUAAAGUAAGGCUAUUUGCCAAAAGUCAAUCUAUAUUUAGAAGAGGUCAUCUGUUCCAGGGAUGGUGCUUGUACUUUUUCUGUUGAUAUUCUAGCUUUAUCUAUUGGUUGCAUGUCACAAAAGUUGUGUUGUUGCAAAUGCAAUUGUUUGAUUGUCAUUAUUGCUUGCUAUUAAGAUUAUACUCGGAUUGUUACUGCUGUUCUCUAUGUUUUCAUUCAUCUUGAGUCUUGUUUGUAAUUUUCAUUCAUAUUUUUAUGUCUUUUCCCAGGGCUUUGCAAUUGAUUCAGCUGCCUUGGUCUCUCUCGCAGUCAAGCAGCUAUUUCCACUGUGGAUGUCUGACACCAAAGGUGUUCAUUGGGUUGAUUGUUGGUGCGAUGCUUCCUUACUGGUUCUCAGCCAUGACCAUGAAGAGUGUCGGCAGUGCAGCUCUGAAGAGGGUGGAGGAGGUCUGAAGGCACUAACUGAGGCUUAUGGAUGGUACUGCUAAACAUGAUUAUGCCACCUGUGUCAAGAUUUCCACUGAUGCCUCAAUCAAAGAGAUGAUUAUCCAGGUGCUCUGGUGAUGCUUCCACCCCUGAUCAUUGGAAUUUUGUGUCAUGGAAACCCUAUCUGGUGUUCUUGCUGGGUCUCUUGUUUCUGGUGUUCAGGUAAGUAAGAAUUUGCUUGCUGAUGUCACCAACAGAAUUUGUGACUCAAGGUAAUGGUCGUUCUUUGUCACAGAUUGUUAUCUGAUCCUCAUCUAAUACUGGUGGUGCAUGGGACAAUGCCAAGUACAUCGAGGUAAAGCUACUCUUCCUUUUUCAUGUUUUCUUUACAUGCUACUGUGCUCCUGAGGCCUGUUUCUUCCGUACAUUUAUGACCCUUGCCUAUUCAAAAGAAUGGUAAAUUUCAAGAUAACAAAAUUGUGCUUGUUUAAACUUGGUUUACAUGAGGUUAGGUGUCUUAAAUUGCUCAUAGUUCCACAUCAGAAUCUGUAGCUACCUCACGCAAUUAUUCAAACUGCUCAUCUAAUAUGGCGUUGAUAGGCUGGGGCAUCAGACCAUGCAAGGAGCCUUGGCCCUAAGGAAUCCGUUCCUCACAUGGCUGCUGUUAUUUGUGACACCAUCGGGGACCCUCUCAAGGAUACGUCCGGGUCGUCACCUAUCAAACUAAUGGUUGUGGAAUUUCUGGUGUUGGCACCAUUCUUUGCAACUCAAGGAAGUCUCUUGUUCAAGAUCUAACUAAUGAGUAAGCUCGGGGAUGUUUGUUCUUUACACUGCUCAAAUCUCGAUCGGUUUCAAUAUUUGAUCAGUGAUUGCAACUUGUUAUUUAUCUUUCUUUUGCUUUUCCCAUCAUAGUUUCUCUUUAUCGUUAUUAGUUGAAAUUGUAGAUAUAGGUCAGCGUCCAUCGACCCAUUGUGGGCAAGGAGGCUGACAAAAUUUUCUUAUGUUUGAAGAUGACAAUUAUUGUGGUGAAUUGACUGUUGUCAUUCUUAAGAGUUUCGUGUCAGAAUAUCCACAGUGGAAACAGCUGGCUCUCCUGCAUGAUCUACUAAUAAUUUACUUAUCAAAUGAACACCUUACUAUGCAUGUGUUAGAGGGAAGAUUGAGUACGUUGAUUCAUCCUAACCUCGUGGGAGUUUCGUACAUUUCUAGUUCAUUUGGAGAUCUUGAUUUGUGUUAAUCAUGAUUUUAAAUAAAAUAAACGUCUCUAAUUUCAGCUUUAAUCCUUGGCAAGUUCUUCAUUAGUUAGACAAAUUUGAUUGCAUAGGGUUUUGUAAAUCUGAAUAUCGUUAACAAUAACUUUAUUUUGAUUAACGUUAAUUUUUAAAUCACUAUUCACUAUAAUUUUAUCUUUUGUAGGAAAGAAAAAGAAAUCUGAUGUGGGGUUAAAUACCAUUUAUUUCUUGAUGUUGCUACUUUGUGAAAAAAAAGGGCAUGUGCUGUGGAGACCUCCGAAUGUGAUAGUUAGAAGAUGUGAAAUGAUUAAUAUUAGUGGUAUGAGACGAGAUCGAAGAAGACCUAAAAAGACUUUAAUAAAAACUAUCAAUAAAUAUUUAAUUAUUCUAAACUUAAAUAAACAUGGCUUUUUAUAGAUCUCAAUUGCGACAAAAGAUCUAUGUAGCUGAUCCCAAAUAGUUGAGAUUUACAACUUUGUUAUUAUUGUUAUUGUUACUUUGUGAAAGUAGUGCUGCAAGACUAUAGGACUAAAGCCUUUUUUUUUUGUUAAGGUUAAAUAUUUACCAUUCACUUCAAUUAAGGUUUCCUUCAUUUAAUUCACUUAUUAUUUUAUCAAACAUUCUCAGAAAAAAACCACAACCUAUUCGAUGGCCGACUCUGACAAGGCAGCUGUGGUUGUGUAACAGCCUACUCCAGCGGUUGACUAGACAAGGUGGCCGUGGUUGUCGAUGGUGCGGCAGCCAUUGCAGUGAGAGAUGAGGCUUUUGUGUGUGCUGUGCUACUCUAGAUCGGUGGCCACCUAAGAAAUGUGACUAUGGAUCAUGCUGCUGGGGGUUGGGUUCCAUGCUCUAUCUGGUGAGGUUUUGACUACCUUCGGAUCUGGACUGUGUCAACCAUGAAAUGUGACUAUGGGACAUGCAUGUGAUCAUGCAGUGGAUUGAGGCUUUGAGGAUAUUGGUGGUAGAGUACAUGAUCAUUUUGAGGGAUUUCCUCAAGGGUUUAACAAAUAGGGGGGCCGUGAAUUGUAUAUUCUUGCUUUAUAUCUCUUGACCUUCACAAAUAUUUCUUACAUUUCUUAUCUAAAGUUUGGAUCUGUUUUUUUUUUGUAACUCUGCUGUUACAUUAGGGUUCAGACAACAAGCCUGUUAGAAAUCUGUCAUAUUACUUUAUUAGAAACAUGUCUGAACCAAUGAGUGGCAAUGGAAAAACUGUGGAUAAUUAGCAGUCUUAAAUCUUUGUUAGAUGACAAAAAAUGAUAUUGUCUUUAAGCCAAAAAAUGAUUCACAAGGAAACUCGAUCGAUUGUUAACUGUAGAUAUGACAAAAAACAUGAAUAAUUAGCAGUCUUGAGUCUUUGUUAGAUGAAAAUGAUCUAAAUAUUUGUGGAUCGAUCACAAGGAAACUCUGUUCAUUUGUCUUAGUUUGAUUUGAUACCUAAAGUUGAAUACAGCAUUGAUUCAUACAUCAUGAUUGACAGAGGUGUUUCAUCUUUUCCUCCAUGCAGAAUCUUUGCAACCCCAUCUUGUUGAGUGCAGUAAAAGGUGAACCUUUUUACUUGUGAAGAAUAACUGCCUUCUUGAGGAUGAAUGAUUCUAAUGUUCUUUUCCCCUGUUUUGGUAUCAUCUUCUUCCUCUUUUACAGCAUUUUCUCUGCUGAAACUUCGCAUCGGGGGUUCCUUGCAAGAGAAGGUCAUAUUCAACACAGGAAAUCCUCAGCAAUCAUGUGUGUCAUUCCUCAAGAAUACUUCUGAGAUGUUUGGUUUCUCUCAAGGAUGCUUACCCAUGCCCAGAUGGUUGAGCUGAAUGAGUUCUUCAAGACAGCAGGGUAGAAAUCUUCUCUAGCAAGUUCAAAUUUUACUGUUGAUGAAUAAUUUCUCUCUGAGACCACUCAGAAACUUCAUCCUAUCUUUUGCUCACACAUUAUUUUUGGGUUGAAUGCACUCGAUGGAAAAGUUCCUCUGAGUGAUGGUUCACUAGGACCUUGGAACAACACCAAUGCCACUUCUCUCAUUGGUAUACAAACAAUAAGGGUUGCACCAUCUGUUGUUGGGAGCUUGGUAAGUCCACCUUGAUCAAGAAUUGCAGGUUCUAAAAAGACUGGAACUUGUUCACAUCAUUGCUUAAUGCUUGAAAUGUUGAAAGAGAUGUCAACACUUGUUAACAUCAUCAUUUGGAACUUAACAACCACUGAAUAGUCUAUCUUCAUCGAUCGGCACAGAACUUGCUUCAAGAUUUUACUCUAGUAGGGAUGAAGGUUCGGAUUUUUUGUCUGUCUCAGGCAAUGAACCAAGUGGAUCUGGAGAUGGAGCUACAAUUGGUGCAGACCAGUAUGCUGCAGAUGCUAUAGGAAUAUUUAAAGAAGGAUUGGCAUCAAAGUGACCUGCAGCUCUCGAGUGGGUUAAAUUGCAUAACUCUAUGGAUUAAUAAUUUUCAUACCAGUAUUUCCUAGAUAUCAUUGACCCGACAUACACUUACUAAAUAUUUUGGAUGUCAUUGACUUGACUAUUUCAUAGGGUCAUUUAUCACAUGGACAUCCUAAGAUCACAUUAUUGUCCCAAAAGGUACCUUGCGAUUUACAUUCUCAGUUCUCGAAUAUAAUUGUAGUUUACUUUACUACGAAUGUGUAGAUCUUUUAUCACAAUAUAGUAGUAGUAGUUUACUACGAAUGUUAGUCCUUUAUUAUAAUCAUUUCUUCAUCUUCUAUCUUAGACCAUAUGACAUUGUGUCGAGUUUUUGCUCCUUAAAUGUAACUCGUAUCAGUAAUGUGUUUUGUAUACUGGUUACCUGUUUGUGUAUAUUUAAGUUCCUCCUUUGGCCUCUGAUAGCUGUCUGCUUGCUGCAGAUGUCAUCUUCAAUGAAUUCAAUAUCUCUGUUAAUAGAGUUGGGUGCAAUUCACAUUGUCGAUGUCAAAUUUCUGUCAUUCGAACACGUAGAAGAAGUUCACUGGUGAACUAGAAAACUAAUUGCAUAGCCUAACAAAGGGCUUUCUUUAGAGAUCUUUUAGAGAAAAGAUCUCCCAUGCAGCAGGAAAAGACUGGCUCAAGUUUUGGCCUUGAGUGACUGAAAAUUAACGAUGACCAUGACCUACUUAAGAUUUGUAUUUACAUGACACAGCUGCUGCUAUCGUGACCUAAAGCUCAAACGAAUCAAUGAAUUCAAAAGAUCCUACUGAGCUAAUCAUUGCUUGCGGAUGCAGCGGCAAUGGAGCCACCAUCCUCGCUGGAUCCUGUAGCGCCGGCAGCGUCCGGUCUGAUCUCAUCCAGUUGCUGCAGGAUUUGCUGAACCUCCGGCCUGGCCGUCGGCGCCGGGUCGACGCAGUGCAGGGCCAACUUCAAGGUGUUCAGUAGCUCAUCCCCGGCCGCCGUCCCCGCCGCAUCCCUCAUCAGUUCCAGGUCGAACACCUCAUUGGUCCACUCCUCUUUGACUAUCGAGGCCACCCAGUGCGGCAAGUCCAUGCCGUUCAUCAAGUCCGCAGGCGAUUUACCCGUGAGGAGCUCGAGCAUGACGACGCCGAGGCUGUAGACGUCGGUCUUGGUAUUGGCCUUCUUGAGCUUGGACAGCUCCGGGGCUCGGUAGCCGAGCGCGCCUGCGGUGGCAAUCACAUUGGAGCUGGCAGCACUAGUCAUCAAGGACGAGAGGCCGAAAUCAGAUAUCUUAGCGUUGUCGUCGUCGUCAAGCAGAACGUUGCUGCUUGUCAGGUUGCCAUGGAUCAUGUUCACUUCGUUGUGAAGGUAGAGUAGGCCCCGAGUUACCCCCUUGGCUAUGUUCAUCCUUGUCGCCCAAUCUAUCGGCGUCUCAGGUCCCCGAGCUGUGUCAGCAGACAAGAAGAAGUUAUAGAAUCGUAUUGCUGUUCAUCAAUGAGAAGGAAGCUGUGGGUGUGGAUGCGAGGGACUCUGCGGAAGUUACCAUGUAGAAAAGCUGCAAGGUUUCCCUUGGGCAUGAAAUCAAAGACCAGAAGCUUCUCUCCUUUGGGGCCUAAAUAGUAAGCUCGCAGCGCCAAUAGAUUGUGAUGCCGGAUUCUGCCAAGCUCACACGCCUCCGUCUCGAAUUCCUUUUGGCUCUUGGUGAUCUUCUCUCUCAGUCUCUUCACUGCAACUUGGUUCCCGUCCUCCAGUGUGGCCUUGUACACGGUCCCGUACGUGCUCUUCCCCAUGAUCUCCGCCGUCGCACACAGGAGGUCAUCGGCGGCGAAUGCCAACGGUCCCUCGAAGUGUACCAGCUUUCCCCCGGCCUCCCCGCCGGACUCCGCUUCAGCUCCCGUGGCAGGCCCGGGCUUUUCCUCUCUUCCGGUGGCAGAAGCGCCGCCAUCAGUCUUCUUCCCCAAGGAACUCCUUUUCCUCAUCAGGCAGCAGAGCAGAACACAGCAGAGCACAAAAAGCAGCACCGCCAGCACUGCCCCUGCAACUAUGAGAACGAUCGCCUUGGUGCUCAGUUUAGCAUGACGUCGCCUUGUAGGGAUCAACGGAGGAGACAGAGUCGGGGCAGGGGAAGAAGGACAAGGGACGGUAAUGCUGUACCCACACAGCUGAAUGUUUCCCAUGAAGGAGCUCGAAUUAAACUUGUGGGAGAGGAGAAGUGGCACUCGACCUGAUAAGUUGUUGUCGGACACAUCGAACGAAGUCAGACCAGUCAGGUGCACCAAAGUGGCCGGUAUCUCUCCGGUGAGGUUGUUCUCCGACAGGUCUAGCUGCGAUAGACCAGAGAUGUUUCCUAGUGUCGCCGGUAUCGCGCCACUUAACUGGUUCCUCUUAAGCGACAGCAUCGACAGAUUCUUGAGUCCAUCGAUGUUGUCGGGGAUGUGGCCGUCGAUUUUGUUGCCCUCCAGGCUUAAUUCAACCAAGGACGACAAGUUGCAGAUGGUAACAGGAAGGCUCCCUCCUAAAUCGUUAUGUGAAAGAUCUAACGUUUGGAGCAGCGACAGUUUACCGAUCUCUUCGGGUAUGCUUCCGUUAAGCCUAUUGUUGCUAAGUGUGAUCUCUUUGAGCAUUUGUAGUCCACUGAGAGAUGGCGGAAGAUUCCCGCUGAUGGAGUUGUAGUCGAGAUUUAAGGUCUGUAAUUGGUAGACUUGGCUGCUACCACCUCCGAUGGCCCAUGUGUCGGGAAUGGGUCCGGAGACAUUGUUGUGCUGAAGGGAGAAAAAGGUAAGCGAGGCGGAGCGGGUAAUGCUACGGGGGAUGGCACCGGAGAGAUUGUUAUGGCUAAGGUUAAGCCUAUACAGCUUAGUAGCGUUUGCAAUGGAAGAAGGAAUGCUACCCGCAAACGAGUUGUUGCUGAGAUCGAUGGUCCGGAGGAUGGGGCAGUUGCCGAUGGAUGGCGGGAUGGCACCCGAGAAGCGAUUGUUGAAGAGGUAGAGGCCUCUGAGUUGAGGUAAGAAGCCAAUGGCCGAAGGGAUCUGACCGCCGAUGGAGUUGUCGUGGAGGCUCAGCUUGCGCAAGGCGGCGAGCUGGCUGAUCUUCUCGGUGAUUCGCCCGCCGAGGCCCCGCCACGGGAGCUGGAUGGCGAUGACCUUGCCCUUGACGCACUUGAUCCCGACCCAGGCGCCGGAGCAAGCGUCGAGGCCGGUGUCGUUCCAGCCGCGGAGGAGCCCCCGGGGGUCGUCCAGGGCGUGCUUGAGCGCCUGGAGGCCUUGGUAGUCGGCCUGGCUGAUGAUUAUCCCGUCCCAGGACUGGCUCGAAGCUGAGCUCGCAUGAGCCAGCAGCGACAACAUCACGAUGUGAAGCGGCAGAAGCAGGAGGAGACUACCCCCGGUUGCAGAUUGCCGAGAUGGGGCUCUCUCGGACUCGCACAUCUCCAUAUGCUCUUGCAUUGUGUGCUGGCAUCCUCCGAUCCUCCUCUUCAUUCGCAUGCAAGUUGGAUGGGAGUAGGAAGACAGACCCCCGAACGAGAGAGAACGGAGGAGGAGGAGGCUGGGAAUUGGGCAGGGAACUGAGAGAUAUCUUGCUUGGAAUAUAGGAUGGUAUUAUUUCUCGAGGCUAACGGCUAGUUUGCUUUUCCUUUCUGUUCUCUUUUGGGGCCGUAGAGCGAUGGGGUGUCGGCGACUAGGAUUCUGGGAGAGCUAUUAUUGAGGGCGGGCGAUCAUCGGCCAGAGGGAGAUCCCACCAUGUCCACAACGGCUACCUUAUUUGAAUGGGUCCAUGGCGAAUCAACAAUUCAUCGGCCUUCCUCGUGCAGGGCGUCGCGCAGUACAGUGAUACGACCACCAGAAUAGCUUACGUGUGUGUCCGCACCUGUUGACCAAACCCACAGGGUUAUGAUGACAGCUGACUUAUAUAAGUCGAUAAAGGCGAAUCUUUUGAGACUCGAGAGUUGGUCGAAAAGGAAUCUUUUGAGGCUCGAGCACGUAUCGACAUGCUCUGAUUCAUAAUUUAGCUGCCGGAAUGGUGGGGCCAUUGUUUGCAGUACUAAUAUACCACACUACGUUGCAGGGUUGGCCUUUGAGAUUCACAUAAACUGAUUUCGAAUUCUCAUGAUGCUAAUAGUUGGAAAAGAGAAAUCCAAAAUCUAUGCUCGAAGGUAUCCAAUUGUUACACAAGUGAUAGAUCAUCAAAGUGUUAUAUACACCAUCAUUUACUGUAAUAUAUAUAUAUAUAUAUAUAUAUAUAACCUCAUUUUAAUUUAAUUUAUUUAUUUAUUCUAACUGCAAUAAUCAAUUAUUGUGAUACCGAAACUUAGCACAAAAGAUUCGCGUUUCCCGACUCGUAAUCCGCAACGGCCGCUCCCCCAAAUCGGAGGACCAUAUAUAUAUAUAUAUAUAUAUAUAUAUAUAUAUAACUGCGCCCCUUUGCAUCCACCGCCCAUCGUUUUCGGUUCCCUCUCCCACUCUUCGAUCCUUCUGAAUACUCGGCGAUCUCCUUCGAUGGCGAGAUGGUAGGAGCUCCAACGAUACGGCGAUUCUCUCGCUGGCUACCGGAUCCUCGUCGCCGGCUCCGUCGUUUCCUGUAACGCGCCGGGGAGCGGCAACACCUUGCAGCGCCAGGUGAGACGUCAACGGUGCCCCUGUUCUCAGCGUUUGAGUUGUGUCCCAUCUUGUGGUGUUAUCGAUGUCUACAUGAUGAUCAGACAUCGUUGGAGACGUUUUGGUGCGUGAGGGUAUGGUAGGGUCAUGGCAGGGCGAUGAUCUGAUCCCUUUUUUCUCUAGGGUUCUCGGAUGAAUUAAAUUGCGUGGUCUUGUUUCCACGUUUGAUUUGAACUUUACAGAUAUCAAACUAGAUUUAUUUGAUUCCAUGUUCUUGUUUCUCUAGAUUUGUUUGAAGGGUGGAGAUUCCGAUGAAAGAGAUAAGAGAAUUAAGAAUCAUGGUUCUCAGAUUGCAAACAAGAUUUACCUACCAUACUGAAAAAAAGUAGAGAAUUAUGGUGAUUGUUACAUGCUCUGCAAUCUUAACAAUGUCAUGAAUCAUGGCAUAUGCACCUCAAACUAUACCAUGGACCAUGGUCUAAAUCCUCCAAAACUAACUGAACUUGCACCUUAAGAAAUAGUUUGGUAUGAGAAAAAAAUGAAAAUAAUGCUUUACAGUUGUAUCUUUGAAACAAAACUGAACUGUAAACCAUACUUAUAACUAUUUAUGUUCUAUGUUUUUUUUUUUUUUUUACUAUAACCAUUUCCUGCAAACAUAAGUUUGGGCAUUUUAUUUGUUCAUUUGCUUCAAUAUUCUCAAAUCUCUAUGAUUUUGCGAGAAAGCGAGUAUUUCAGUAGAAACUUGCACUAUAAAUUGAAUUAUCAUAUGUGAAGCUAUAUAAAUACAGAUUAUGAGGGAAUUUUCUUCUGGAGUUAAUAGUGCUAUAUAAGCAGACCAAACUAGCAUGUGCACUGAAUACUCCAAUUUAAUAUAUUGUUUGUAUUUCGUAUUUGCACUCAAGGAUGGGAAAAGAUUAUGCUAGAAGCUUGAAGUUGUUUUUUGAAUGUAAUUAGAUUAGGUUUCCAAAUUUCUUGAUGUGUGAUAACACGAAAUUGGGGCUAAAUCUUAAUUAUUUUUUUUCAAAGCUAAUCUUGUUAGGAUAAAAACUGUUUGCCCUUUAAUUGAUUUCAGAGACAGAAAAACAUUCGCUUGUAAUAGAGAUGAUCUAGAUGACUUUGAAGAUGAUGAUGAUUACUUUAAAAAUAUAUAUAGUUUCCUUUGGUGUAUGCCAUCUUGGUCAUUAGGAUGAAACUGUGCUGCCUAAUAAAUCAAGCUUCGAAGACUUUCAGUGAACCGGUUGAUUUGAGAAACCAAGUUUGCAGUUACUAUCAGAUAGAACUCUUUAUGUUCAAAUCAGUACCCAGCUGAAACAGUGGGGAGAUUCUCAGCAAGAACAGACCAAAGCUUACAUGUUUCACCCUAUAUUCAGUGAUUUUUUAUCAGUUUUAUCUUUGAGAAUUAAAUCCUACUCUUUUAGUUUCACUGAUUAGAUUCUUAGUGUCUUGCUGUCUCUUUUAGUUUCAGGCACUACUACUCUUCAAACUGACCUUUAGUGCUUAGUCCACUGGGACCUGAAGGUUCUUGGUGAUCCACUGUGGCCAUAGUUCUAGAUUCCUAUUGCUCUGUUGAUUUUUGACCAUUUGAGACCAAAGUGCAUUAACAGCACUAUCCUUUUAUAACUUUUUUUACUUUUAACUCAUUCAAAUCAAAUAUCUAAUAUUAAUGAGUAUUAAUAUUAACGAAUAUUCUAACUAAUCAUGAUUAACAUAUAUAACAGGUCAGACACCAUGUCAAUCCAAAAUUUUAGCUAUUAGGUUGUUGACAUAUAUAACUCGACUAUUUCAAUAUUUAGCUUCCAUCUUUUCUUCUCGUACAAUAUAUCUAACAAAUGGUUCUGAUUUUUCUAAGGAUUCUGAUAUAGAGUUGGGACCUGUUCAUUAGUUACAUGUACAUAUAUGUUAUAUUGCACCUUUUUUAUGUUCAUCUCUUGAAUUAUGAAAGUAAGAAAAUACUGAGGUUUUGGGCUGCUUGCCUACUCUUGUGUUCCAGGAAAGAAGCAAUCACAACAUCAAGUAGCGAUCUUACCUGACUAAAUGAGAAUACGUUGGCUUGGGCUAUUUGCCCACCAAGGGAUCACAACAAAAGGAGGUAUUCUUGCUAUCGAGGUCAGGACUCCCAGGUAAGAAAUGUUUGGUGACUUCUUACUUGAGAUAUGCUGUUGAUUGAAUUUUGAGAAAGUUAGGUUGUAAACUAUUUAUCAAGACAAUUUUAUAUAAAUUAUGAUAAAAAGGAAACAUAAGUAGCGAUCUUACCUGACUCAAUGAGAAUACGUUGGCUUGGGCUAUUUGCCCACAAGGGAUCACAACAAAAGGAGGUAUUCUUGCUAUCGAGGUUAGGACUCUCAGGUAAGAAAUGUUUGGUAACAUCUUACUUGAGAUAUGCUGUUGAUUGAAUUUUGAGAAAAUUAGGUUGUAAACUAUUUAUCAAGACAAUUUUAUAUAAAUUAUGAUAAAAAGGACACCUAAACACAAUUUCCACAUUCUUAUCGUUCUUUUCCUUUCAUUCUUGGUGGUUCCAAUCAUAAUAAUGGUAUGUUUCUUUGAUUCGUGUAUUCUACUGCCCUUCCCUUGAUGGCUUAAUUCCAGUUUCACAGUCGUCGUGACAGUUCAACCACAAAAUUUUUACAUGCUGCCUUUAUUAUUGGGAUCCAUGUGUUGAUAGUGAAAUGACUGCCGUUCGUUAAUGCACAUGAUGUACUGCCAUAUCGGCAAUAGCAGGAGAUAUAAUACAGCUGUCUUUGUUUUCGUUCAGGUGGCUGCCAAUUUCUCUGCUGCUACUGAUUUCAAGCUUAUGCAUCUCGUGACCUGCGGAGCCAUGCUUGGUUCUGUACCGCAACUUUUUUCUAACGCCUUUAACUGGUAUUCUUCUUUUAGCUUUGGCGACUAACUCGGGCCCCUUUUGGGGUUACUUCUGCUUUCUUUUUUUAGUUUACUUCUGUUUUUGUUGUUUUAACGAAUAGGACCAAUUUUGCUGACGAUUUGAUGUUCUUUGUCUUCUUUUAAAUCGUCAACAGGUCGAAGGAGAGAAAUCAUUCGAUCAUCCAGCAGAGAUUAUUGGCCACCGAGGGGUAAGUCUUUAAUAAUUUCGAAGCCAAAGUUUUUACUUUUUAGAAUUCCUUGAAACAAUGAAUUUACCAAACAUGGGUCUUACAUCGGUUUUCCAUUUUCUAGGUGUGUGUAUAAUCUCUCAAGUUCUUAGUUGCAUUCCCCUAUCUUUUUUAUUGAAACUAUUACUAGGCCUUGAUCAGUCAAGUUCAUAGGUCUAGGGUUUGACUUCGGACAUGAGCUCGAAGGAACUAAUUUUGAAAAAUAAAAUAAAAAUCACUAAACCAAACCCAAACUCUUAAGGGUGUUCGUCAGCCGACCUGGUCAAGAAUCGUGACUAACAGAAUCAACCAUGGUAUGGUUUCAAAUUUGAAAUCUACCAUGUAAUUUUGACCUGGAACUUGGUGGUAGAAAGCAGAAGCAUGAUCUUAAUGCACUCAUACGUAAAUUGAAAUGUCAUAAAUUUUUGCAUAAAACAUGAUGGAGUACAAGUAAUUAUAUACUUGACAAGGAAAGGAAUGCAAUUUUCAGAUUUUUGCAUGAACAAGAUUUAAAACAUCUGGCCGAUCAUCGUGUGCUGUAAAGGCCUUAUGGUCUCGAUAGGGUGCAUAAAAAAUUUUCAAUCGGAAUAUGGCAUGAUCUCGAAAUUGUUCCUCAAAAUCUGUGGAAUUUCUCGAGUGCUAGAAACAUCUAAAUCAUAUUUUAAGGUGAAAAGUAACCUCAGCGCCGUGACUUGCUGGUCACCUUGCGACCAGCCUGACUCAUCCUUUUUGGUAUUUUCCCGUCUUUUUACUCUAUCUUGUAGUGAUUUAGAAGCAACCAACGGAAAGAAAACCCAAGUUGGCUUUCCUUUGUAGACAUAAAGCAGAUUGUUACAUUAAGAAAAGCUACAAGUACCGGAUAUGUAAUUACACUGUAGAACUGGAUGAUUCAAACUAAGGGAGAGAGAGAGGUGUUGUAUAUAUAAGAUAUUCCUUUCAUUUGUAUGAAAAUAGACUGAUAAAGUCGUUAGUAGGUGGUAAACUUGCCAUGAUAAAAUAAGUGAGAGCCACUGACAUGCUUCAAAAAGAAACGAGUCACAAGUAUAUGCUUCGGAAUGGUGCAACUGUUUUGCUUAUUGGAAGUUGGAAAGAGGUGUUAGGAGAGUUCUACAGAGAUAAUGAUGUAUGCCUCUGCUACCAGUGAUGUGAGAUCAAAUCAACUUCGACUGGCAGAUAUAAAGUAGAAAAACAGAACGAGAAUAUUACCCAUCCAUCAGUUUCCUCGUGGAGUAGGAAGAACCCAUGAAACUCAGGAUAGAUAGCGCCUCUAGACAAACAGAACACAAGUUCCUACUUACCCAUGGCGCUAUCCCUCCUGAGCUUUACAGAUUCUUCCAUACUUUUGCCAUGCUGGUGUGCCAAAACUACAAAUUAUUGUAGUAGCCCAUACUAGCUAGUUAUGAAGAAAGGGAAGAAAAGUCUGUGUUACAAAAGAAAGGCCAGGAAGAAACAUCUUCAAGGAGGAGAGGAAGUAGAAGAAGAUAGAGAGUUGCCUAAACAAAUGGAUAGAUGAGAUGAGAUGAGGAAACCUUCGGUGCACUGGGUCUUAUUUAUAGUUGGGCUCUUGGAUGGAUGGUGGGUUGUAUGUGUGGAUUUAGGAGGUGAAGACAAGAGUCACAGGUCUGGAUUCUCGGAGGGCGAAAACCCUUGACUUUUCAAAUAACAAAAGCCUUGACUUAAUAAAAAAAAAAGUAGAAAAGGGUGUACGAUGGACAGAUAUAGAGAGGUUGGGGGAGGGGGGGAGGGGGGGAGGUGGGAGGGAAGGCUUUGUCCUCUAUUCUAUUAGGAGAUGUAAUUUUCUCCAGCUGGACCAGUCCUGCCGACUACGUUAACCCGCUCCCUAUGCAAGGUGGUACUACAUAUGCCUUGGGAAAAAGGACUGCUUUUACCAACCUCUGUAUGUGAUUUAAAUGCACUGAAACGUUGUGGUAUCAUCUGGGGCAUUGGUCGAGUUGGUGGAAAAUACAGUUUCACCAAUGAUUUCUCUCUGCUGCAGACUGAUUUCUGACAGUAGACAAUAGUUUUUCUCUUCACCUCUGUGAGUUUUAUUCUUGGACUGUACAGGAACGCAAGGCCAUCGGCUCUAGGCAUUUCACCAGAUAGCUUCACUGUAUUAAUGUCCGGGAAAGGUGGAACUAGACUUUGGGCUGUAUGAUAGUAGGUAGUUGAUCGAUGGUCCAGUGGUACUGGAAUGACGUUGAUGAGGUCAUAUCUUCGUUAUAGGUAGCUCACAUCUGGAUAUUAGUAUCUUUCCCAUCUGUAUACUAUUUUUCUUUUUAACGCUCAAGAUGUGUUGGUUGAGAUGAAGAACUGCCCGUAUGUUUUUUAGCUGGAAUUAAGAAUAUAUACGCCUCAUUAAUUGAUCAAUGUUUGUUUCUGUAUCAUCCACAACUAACAUUGGUCAAUGUCUAGAAUACUGACCAUCGAACCUCUCUAUGAACAUUGGUCAAGCUCUCGGACUGGAACCGACAGACAAGAACCAUCUUAAUUACUUUGGGUCCCCAUGUAAAUGCAAAGAUAUGAUCAAUAUAUUGCCUGUCCUUGUCAUAUCUUCUUUCCGAUCUAGUAUCUCACCUAUUAAGUUAAAAAUUGACGAGGAAGAACCUAUUUCUUCUUCUAAAAUGAGAGAUUAAGGCAAUCUGAGCUAUUUUUCUCCGCAUUAGUGUUAAGGGUUUGUUACAACCAAUGGACUAUAGGAAACUAUAUAUCCUUUGUUUUGUUAUUGUGUAAAGAGGAAGCAACACUUUACUCGAUGAGAAUCUUAACGAGUUUCUCCUUUUGAUCUGACGAGAGCUGCCAACCGAACUAUAUGUGCAGCUCUUGCUAAAAUUGACGAGCGCGAUCUGAUCCAACCUUUCAUUAUUGUUGGGAGUACUCUCAUCAGCCUCAACUGUAACUAUAAAAAACAUUUCACCUGAGCCUGCAGCAUGGGCUUUAGCGUUUUUGACCGGAAGGACUGUGUCUAACCUAAUAAGCAAGUAACAUGAAUCCUGGAUUAAUGUCUGUGGUCUACUCCACAAAUUUCUUUGGGUCGUCUCUUGUGUACACGGAUUGUUAGGAUUCGUGUAAAAAUCAUACAUAAAAUUACACAAUAUGAUACGGAAAUUUAAUUUGUUUAGCAUUUCAUGAUUACUUCAUUGCUUCUAGAAGUCGAAAGCUGUCAGCAAUUAUUGCUUUUAGGGAUUAUGACACGGUGUUUUUUGGGUGUCUAUCAUAUAAUGUUUUUGAAACAGAAAUAUAUUUACCUGUCUCUGUUGUAAUUUUUUUUAAUGUUUAUGUUGCUCUUAUAUAAUGUUAAUUAUUUUGGUAGUGUCCUCUCCUCUCUGUUUGCCGUAGUUAAACAAGCUUCGAGCGUAACGCUCUUUCCAUGUGACCGGUGAGUGCCUAAGUAGCUCUUAGAUCUUUUUCUUUGAUGGAAUUCUCGAGGGUACUCCUAAUUAAUUGACAGGCAAAUACGUAGCCCUCUUUUUUCUUCCUCGGGUUAGGGUCUCCCUGGUUGGCCGCGACAUGAUCCGCACGUAAAUGGCGAGUCUUGUCACGCCCACAUGACUCAUUUAUGAGAGCCUGCUGGUGAGAGGUGAUCUCGGAUGUGAUGCCACUGAUGGCGACUUCCAUACGUUAUCCCCAUUAAUCACAAGGUUUCGUGAUCAAAGAUCAUGGUAUUCAGUCACAGAUUGUCUAGAAAUAUACAUAACUCAAACCUAGCAUUUUUUUUCAUUGUAUUUCCCUCGUUGUAUUAACUAUAAAAGGAAGCCAAAAAAAAAAAAGUGAGAGAGAGAGAGAGAGAAGGCCGUUCUCAUAUAAAACAAAUUUUGCAAUAUAUUUUCUAUAGACAAAUUCUUUUGGAGAAGGAACUAGGCCUUGGAACAUAGGUUAAGAGGUAUCACAUGCUCAUCUUAAAUCUCACACUAGUCCUGGCUUACUAAGGUAUCACGUGCCAAGUCCAAGUAGUGUGCUUCAAUUUCUAAGGAGGGAAGGAUGUCGAUGUAUGUUUAUAUUGACUUAUUUGUACAAACAUCACUAUCUCGACACGGUUGCUUCAGGCUUCCUAAUCAAUAUCAUUACGUCUUCGUCAAGGCACUAACAAAGCUAUGCUAGCGUGAUAUUCGGCCUCAGAAGAUGUUAAUUUCUUAAUAUAGAGUACUCUAUCGUUGAAACAUUCGAGAUUUCUUUAAUGCACUUAAUUGUGUUUGCUCAUUCCCAAGGGUGAUCAAGAUUUGGAAACGGUCGAUUUUAGCUUUAGAUCGGGGAGAGCAUACGAUUACUGUGAUAGAUUGUAGUUUGAAAAUUUGUUAAUAAAAAACUGGGUGACAUUCUUGAUGUAAAAGGGUGAGACCAACUAGUUGAGGUUUGUGUGAUAGUGACUUGAGAUAUUGUAUAUCGAGAUAAAAGUUUUUUGGGCUUGGUAUUCACUUCCUCUAUCAGAGUAAAUUAUUUUAAUGGUAGAUUGAAAAAAGUUCUCGAUCAUCUUUCUAAAAUGAGUAAACAUCGUGAUGAUUUCAUAUUUAUUGGAGCAGCAAUAGAAGUAAAAACGGUUGAUUAGGUGAUUUAUGAAGCUGAAACUACUUGUAGAUAUUGUCCUUAUUCUGGCCUCGGACCAAAUUGUAGAUGCUUGGAUGCUUUCGUGCUUAAAUCAUUUACAAUAAACGAGAAAGAACUAAAUAAAUAUGUUAUUUUGUUUACUGAAUUGAGAAACAUAAAUAAGAUUUUUUUUAAUAUAGAUAAGUUAUGUAGAUUAUAAGUAAUAUGAUGAGAAGCAUUAGAGUUAAUAAUCAAUGAAUGAGCAAUGAAAGUAAUCAUGAUAUUUGUUUGAAGCCAAUUGAGUGUAGUAGUAGGCUUGGUUAAGACCGACAAACUUUUGUUGUGUGUCUAGUUUUGUUAUAGAGCUAACAGAUGACUUUUUGUUAAUUGUUUUUGUUGAGAUGCUAGAAUUAUUAAUAAUUAUAGUAUAAGUUAUAUUUUAAAUUAUUUGGAUUGAAGUUAUUAUUAUGAUUGAAAGGUUGAUAAUGUAAUGGAGGAUGAUGGUUCUGUGUGUUUCUCAUGUGUCCAGGAGAUCUUGUUUGGUCCUUUAUUAUAGAGGAUGAUAGCUUUUAUUUUGAUGAAAACAAUACAAUAGGGAAGUACUAUUGCUAAUUAUAUGUAAAAUAUAAAAGUUAUUAUUAGAUUGUCUUUAAUAGUUCAUUUCAUGAGAGAUGAAGAAGUCAUUGUUCAUACUCUCAAUAGCCUAAGAGACAAAUAUAAAGAACCGAUGGUAGCAAUGCGGGCACAAGAUUCAUCAUUUGAAGAACUAUAUGAUAAGUAUAUUAAUCAUGAAACAUAUUUAAAAGUAUAAGAGAGGAUGACAUGAUCAACUAUUAUAGCUCAAUUCAAUUAAAAAUUCAAUAGAAAAAGCAAUCAAAGAAAUAAUAACUUUAUCGAAUGAUUGAAGAAGAUACCUCUUGUCCGUACACGUAGAGCCAUUCUCUAUUGCACUAUCAACUCUAUGACUACUUUGAUUGUUUAUCCAACUAAUUGGAUUGUUGACUCUGGUGCUUCUUGUCAUAUUAUUUUGAUCUACAAAAGUUAUCCAUCCAUAAUGAUUAUGAAGAAACUUAAGACGUCAUUAUUGGUAAUGAUAAUGAAAUUCUUAUUACUCACACAGGUUUCACAACACUUAAUUCAAACACCAAUAUUUUCACUCGAUGAUGUUUUAUGUACACCUCGUAUCAAAAUGAAUUUUAUUUAUAUUUUUUAAUUUUGUAAAUAAAAUAAUAUCUCUAUUGAAAUCUUUUUUGACUCAUUUCUUAUAAAUGAUUUGAGUACGGAGAUAUCUUUGGUUUGAGUCCAAAAUAAAGAUAGCAUAUAUGAGUGGUCAUCAGCUUCAUAUAUCACCUAGCCAAUCACUCUUACUUCAAUUGCUGCUCUAAUUGAUGUAUGACAUCGUCACCUUGGUCAUUCAUCAUCCUCCAUUCAAUAAUAGCUAUUUUUUUUGUUACUCUCUUUCAACUUUCAAAUCAAGUAAAGUUAAAAUUUAUUAUGAUGUUUACCUUAAUAAUAAAAGUCAUAAACUAUUUUUAGAACGUGUUCCAUAUGCUACUUCAAAUCAUUUAAAAUUAUUUAUAUCGAUGUUUGGGGACCUAACCUAAUCACUUAUUUUAACAAAUUUAUAUUUUAUGUCAUUUUCAUAGAUUAUUUUACUAAAUAUACAAUGUUAUCCCUCUCAAAUAUAAAUCUAAAGUUACAGUCAUUGCUAACUUUAGAAAGAUGAUCGAGAACUUUUUUUAGUAUAUCAUUAAAAUAAUUUACUUUCAUGGAGGAGGUGAAUAGUGAGCCUUAAAAACUUACCUCUCAUCCUAUCGUAUACAACAUCUUAAAUUAUCGUGAAACACAUCUCAACUAGUUGGCUCUAUUAAACAAAGUAUCAAUAUAUAGUUGAAUUGGUUUCACUUUUUCUCAUCAAGCCUCCAUGCUCCAAGAGCUUGGUAUACUGAAUUUAGUUUGUUUUUUAUAUCAAUUGACUUCAAACUCUAAGUCUCACAUUUUGUUAUUUCUAUGACAACAAAAGAAAAGUAUCAUAUAUCUCCUAGUACAUGUGAAUGACAUUAUCAUUAUAGGCAAUAAUCUCAUGAAGAUUAAGCAAUUGGUAAAUCGAUUCUCUAUUAAAGAUUUUGAAAUCUUAAGCUAUUUUUUGGGAGUGGAAGCACCGUUUACAUCUUGGACUUUUCAUAUCUCAAAAUACAUUUAAGAUCUACUAUCAAAGGCAAUCAUUCUAUACUAUUGAAUUACUCAAGUUAUAUAAUGAUACUCCUACUAUAGAUCUCAUACAUACGGACAAGUACUUGGCUCUACUUAUCUCUCACAUGUCUAUACAUCUAAUUAGCAAUCAACAUAUUAUCAUAAUUUAUGCAUUGGCUCUCCACUACAUAUUAAUAUGUAGUAAAACAAGUCAUACAUUAUCUAAAAGGAAUUCUCAAUCAUGGACUUGGUCUUUGUAAGUACUUAUCACUUCAUUUUCAUGCAUUCAUCGAUGUUGAUUGGACAGGUAACAUUGAUAAUAUAAAGUUAGAAUUUUAAGAAAUAGAAAACAAUCGCACGAUCCAUCACGGAAGCUAAAUACCAAGCUAUCACUAUCGCUAUUGCAUAAUUCAACUGGGUCACCAAUCUACUAUAGGAACUUGAUAUCACUUCUCAAUUCACUUUUAUAAUAUAUUGUGAUAAUGUUAGUAUUACCUAUCUAUGUGUCAAUCCAGUAUUCCACUUACGCAUAAAAAAUAUUACCAUAGAUUUUUACCUCGUUAGAGAUCAAGUUGUCAAACAUCAAUCACGUGCUUCUCACGUACAUACUUAAUAGAAGCUUAAUAUUAAGGAGGCAUGAUAGAGGCACAUAUGAAAUGACAUUCUUAUAUUUCUUAUAUCCUCAAUCAAUCUAUGAUUUGAUGAUCAAUUAAAGAUUUGAACAAUUGCUCCGAUUGCAUCAUUUAAGUGAGGAAAAUCUCUUCCUCAAAAUUUGUAUAAAUACUCUUCGUCUUAAUGAAAAUUUGAUAAUCACAAGUUUCUCGAUACAAAUCAUAUGUUCUCACUCUGAGUUUAGGUUAAGUACCUAUCUGUCGUCUCCAGUAACACAGAUAUUUAACACUGUUAUCGGUUCCAUAACUCCACCGAAUCUAUAUCCUCUCCAGCAUUCCACCAAGGUUGUUCGGAAAUAUCUUUUUCCGUUUGGACCUUUGAUAAGAGUCAUGGCCUAAGCUAAUGCGAAUAAAAUAUAUACAUUUAUCCUGAGAAAAAAAAUAAAUUAGGUUAUUGUAAUCAUUAGUGACAACUGUAGUCUCAAAUUAAUAAAUAUUUUUUGGGGGUGUAUAUUGGGUGCCAAUAUUAGAAACUCAUUUUGAAUCUAUGUUUGGGUUGGGCCCUUCAGGUCAGAGGUGACUUGUGAGCUGCCAGUACAUGGGCCGUAUUCUGUCUCCAUGUCCCGCGAACGCUGGGUUGGGUCGGGUUGGGUCGGGUUGGGCCGGCCGGCAAUUACAUUACCUCUGCCUUAAUAGACAAGGCUCUUAGGCUUCAUCAUCCGUGCAUAGCUCGUAGUGAUUUUUGGUCACUGUCGUUAACGUCAUGAAACGAGAGUAUAUGAAUUAAGUUGUGAAGCCCAUAAAAGAAUGACUAUUGUUGACCACAUCGUCAAUUUUCGUUUUCAUUAUUGCCACAACCAAUUCUGUCGAUGUAUGUCAUUAUUAUUCUACAAUGUGGCAUUGGCCAAGCCGAGCACAAUAGAUUCUUCCUGCUUACAGUCGUCACGUUCCUAACAUCGAGUUUGUCUUAGUUGCCUUGCAUCAAUCUCCUCGCACAGUAUCAACCUGUGAUGGCUAUGCAGUAAUGGCUUAUAUCAAGUCAUUGCCAAAGUUUUCUUCCCAACAAUUAAGCUAAAUGCAAGGAAUUGUUGUCAAGUCAAUUGACGAGAGGGAAAGGGUGCGAAGGUAAUUUCGGCCCCAUCAACUUGCUGAAUUCUUUUUGAAUUCCUUUUCUCUCUCUCUCUCUCUCUCUCUCUCUCUGUAUCUUUUUAUCUAUUGCAGUAUCCCAACAACAUUAUUCUAGCUUUAAUUGACCUUUCAAUGUCCAACUUUCCUCUCCACAGCCCACUGGAACCUGAAGACCCCACCAGACCACCCCUUCGGGAGCCAAAUGGUCGCGCAGGCCGCUUAAACAAAGUGCAAUAUGCACAACAGUACCGAUCAAAUGGUAACUUCUUUAUGGCCCAAAGUAAAGCUUCUAAGAUGGAGCUUUGGAAGUUGCGUGUUUCAUCACCCCUACUAUAUUAGCCCUCCCUUCCACCAACAUGAACCACUCCUCUCUCCCUCCGCUCCUCUCGCACAGCUGCAACACGAGCGUCGUCGCCAUGCCCCACUCCUCCCCCAAGCCUUCCCCUCCUCUCCACCGCAUCGGCGGCAAGCCGGUCCUGGGGGCGGGGGCAUCGGCGGCCGCAGGCGUACCCGUUCGGUGCAUCGGCCAUGGCGUCCCCGCCGUGGUGUCGCGACAUCACGAGCACGCGGUGGAAGCCCACCAGUGCUGCUCGGCCUUGGUGCAGCACGUCGCGGCGCCGGUGGCCAUGGUGUGGUCGGUGGUGCGCCGCUUCGACCAGCCGCAGACCUACAAGCACUUCGUGAAGAGCUGCCACGUGAUCGACGGCGACGGUGACGUCGGCACCCUUCGGGAGGUCCGCAUCGUGUCCGGCCUGCCGGCGGCGACCAGCCGGGAGCGCCUCGAGAUCCUCGACGACGAGCGCCACGUGCUCAGCUUCCGGGUGGUCGGCGGGGAGCACCGCCUCGCCAACUACCGCUCCGUCACAACCCUCCACCCGGAGGCCGAGGGGUGCACGGUGGUGGUGGAGUCGUACGUGGUGGACGUGCCGGCGGGGAACACCAGGGAGGACACGCGCGUCUUCGUCGACACCAUCAUCCGGUGCAAUCUCCAGUCCCUGGCGCGCACAGCCGAGAACCUGGCCAAGUAAUUUCCCACCCAAUCCAACCCUGUGGCUGCCCAUCUUCUAAGCUUCCACCGCCACCACCCCUCUUGCAUGCCCACUCGGAAGCAGACGACGACAUCUCAGAACAACUGCUGAGCCCGGCAACAUCGGGAAAUUUUGAGGAAAGAGAAAAGAAGAGAGAAACUCUUCCAACUCGUUCCUAUCUCUUGUUUUGUCUUCUUUGUUUCGGUCACAUGAACCCUUGCGGAUAAAUGCUAUGUAGUUCUGUCUAUACAUAAACCCUCCAAGAAAGCAAAACAGAUGUUUCUUGGAAUGCUAGCUAGCUUUAUUUACCUUAGUCUCUCUCCCUCUGCAUUGUGAUCCUGAUCAGUCUGUGCUAUCUUCUCUGGUCAAAAGUAAUGGGUUGUAAGCUUCGGAGUAAUGGAUGUCGAAGCACAUGGGAUGGGGACACUGCUGUAGCAUGGUUAAAGAAUGGUGCAGCACCACAUGGCUGGCUCCCUUGCAAAGCUGCAUUAGUCUUCUAUAGAGCCUCUGCCGACGCUUUCACUGAUAUGCGAAUUCUUCGUCUACUUCUCCGACGCGGAUUCACCAUCAGUGGGGAGUGCAGGUGGGCUCCACGCCUCGUCGGCAGGAGCGCCACAUCUAUGAUCUGGUGGCAACCGUGAAUGACCGAUGAUUGGGUCGAUGAGGAUCGCGGGAUUAGGUGGAGAGCACGAGGAUCCACGUGGGCGUGCGUGGCGUCUGACUUCCGAGGUAGAAGAUGACUUGUCCCCGUAUAUCGCUUCCGCUGUCGCCAAUUACCAUGUGGUGUGGUAGCGUUCGAAAAGGGUAGGAUUCCACGAUCCUUCUCUCCCAACUUGUCUCGCAAUUUGCACAAACAACUGAGACCAAUUGAGUUGGGGUAUAUAUAUAUAUAUAUAUAUAUAUAUAUAUAUAUAUAGAGAGAGAGAGAGAGAGAGAGAGUGGAAUCAUCGAGUGCCAUAUUGCAAGCCAAUUUGCCGUCGAGAAGCGGCAUAAAGAAGUGCAAGUUGGGAUGGCCUCCUCCAGUCCAAUGGAUAGUUUUGUAGAGCCCUCCCUCCCACUUGUUCCUCUAAGGGUUCUUCUCGUCUUCCUCUUGUCUGCCCGUUCUCUGUGUCGGUUGGUCUUCAGUUGGCAGCGAAUGGAUGGCUGCAAGUUGCGUGAGGCUUCAUGCUUACCGUUCGUGGCCAACUGCCUUUCUCCAUCACUUCUCCCAAUCCUUUGCUCAGAAUUCCACAAUGCUGCUGCCGACCACCAUGGUUUUCUUCUCUGUUAAGCUUGCUUAUUCCUUCACUUUAUGCUAAUCUGGGGGCGCACUGCCUGUUCUCGGCUUCCUUUGUUAGGACAGCAAUUCCCGGCAUGCGUUGCAAUUAUUUAUGCUGGCGGAAUCAUGCAAUUCCUAUUCUGUAGCACGAGAGAAAGGACUUCAAAUGGUGAAAUGGAGCCCUUCCUGUGAAUAAUGCCUCGAUGAUCAUUCACAUGGACAAACCCUCUCUUGUAGUGGCGAAGGUGAUGCAACUAGUAUUUAAUGACACAGCCUUCCAUCAGCUUGCCUUUUUCUAUUGCAACAUUCAGCGAAGCAGGUGGCGACCGAGCCCUGCCCGGAUACUGAUCGAUCUCGAGGACCACAGCUAGCUAGGCGUGCAAGUGGAAUUAAUGAGCCACGACGACUGGCAGUCGUAAAAGAUAGAGAUCCAGGGAUUCUGAGACGGUCAACUCGUUCUCUCCCACAUCCACCACGUACGAGUUGAGUAAAUAGAACAACCCCUCACCAGGAGAGAUCCGUAGGGAAAACUUGUUGGAUACAGCAAAGUGCACGUACGGCACUGCCUUUUGUCUCUACUUCCCACGUCACUAUUAUAUUCUGCCAUAUCUUGUGUCUGAUCUCCCGGGAGUUGAUAAAUGCCAAGUUGCCGAGAAAGAGAUCUGCAUGCCCCCAUCGAGAUGAGAUGGGGUUGUAGAUCAACAUUCCCGUGAGUCAACAAAGUGCUGUUGGCUCGUGAUAGAAUAUAAGGGCGUGACGAUGGACGCGCUAAUCCUUGCGGCCACUUGUGUUGUUCCCUCCUCCCUUGACAUCUUCUCGCCGAGGAUGUCCUCCUAUUCAUCUUCUUUAAUCUCUCUCUCUGGUUAAUUAGGUAGAGACAAAGCCCAGAGAUUUAUUGGAUCAGAAAGAAAGAUUGGAGAUGAUUCUUUGUCGUGGGAUCUGAAAAUUCCAGUGCUGUUGUAGCUCAGAUAAGCACACUUCCUACUGGUUCUUAGUUUACGUGAGAACAGCAGAUCACAAGGCUAUUAUAAACUCAAAAAAUAAUAUGUAAGAGAGAGAAGAGGAUGUUAAUGACGACAAAAAAAUGUCAGAGAAUCCAUUGGUGAACUUUUUGUGCUUUUUAGUUGGGACCUCUCCUCAAGGAAAGAAGAGUUUAGCGUACAGGAGCUCAUUCCAUGUAUCUUGCAGGCCGGGCAAGCACCAAUGGAUGCAGUCUGCGUAGCUUCUGGGGUUAGCCAGCUGCUCCGGCGUCAACGGGCUCCACUGCUUCUUGUAUAUCUGGGUGUGUGCAUCUUUCCGGUACUCCGACAGUUGAGUAAUGUUGAGCAGAGUUAUUGGCACUUUGGUAGCGUCGAACACCUCUCCGAUCACCUGCAUCAUGCUCUUGCUCGUGCUCGUUCCCCAGUACGUAGCGUCCUCGAUGGGAGUCGUCUCGUUGUAGCAGUUCCCUUGGGGUUCACCUCCCCACUCUUCGCUACUGCAAACCAUCCAUCCCAUCUCAGUUGUUGUGCAUCCAAAUGGCAGAGCAUAUAUAUAUAUAUUGUCAUUGUACGACCUGUGGUGAGAAGGCGACAUGCUUGUGAAGAACACUCUGGUGCUGCGAGGAUCCAUGUUCUUCUCCACCCAUUUCAGCAUCCUCCACAAUGCCAGCCUAUAAGCAUCCUCCGUCACCAUAUCGGUGAUGUUCUUCGGGUCACCUCCAAAGGGCCCUCGCCUGCAAGCGGAUCAAAGUCAGUCGAGACGCCAACAACAACAGAUGGGAUCAAGGAAACAGAGUCGAGGCUCCUCGGUUACAGAAUCUUCAUUUUGCGGCCGGCCAUCCACCAAAGGUAUGUGUUGAAGACGACGAUGUCGGCUCCCUUCCAAUGGCGAGCGUGCUUCAUGAUGGAACCCGGUCGGACGAUCCGCUCUUUGAUCCUGUGGACGAGGGCGUUGUCGGAGUUGGAUUCCACCAGAAACGGCGCCCAGUAGAACUCGAUCGUCGCAUUGUAGUCCUAUCAUAAGAACGAUGGUCGAUUUCAGCGGCAGUGCAGGUGGGGAGGGAGGUGGGAAGAGACGAUGGAAGACGACCUGCGGAGAUGCUAACCUUGGCCGUGAAGACCAUGAACGAGUCAAAGGAUUCCAUGGAUUUGGCGUGCUCUGGAAUGACCCGAUGCAGGAGGCACACCAUGGAUACGAAUUGCCCCCGGUUCAAGGAAUCACCCACGAACAUCAUCCGCUUGCCUCGAAGCAUUUCCAGCAUUAAGGUGGCGUCGAAGCUGUCAUCCAUGACGAAAUGGACUCAAAUCGCUGAAAUUGAUCUUUCGAAAGAACAAUCAACCAUUGACGAGGUUAACCUGCAAACUCUUAUCACACCUUCCCAUGUCUCACGUCCUAAUCCCCGAGUAGUACAUUCCCGUGUGCCCAAGCGUGGGCCAAAAUCCUUACAUUACUAUCAACGAUGGCACAGAAUGUUUUGUCGUCACAAAGGACGGCGUUCGGCCCAAGCCCAACUUAUGGUCCAUACGACACCUUUGUCACCAAGCUUACAAGGACACCAAGGAAGAGGGGUUGAUUACAUUCCGACGCAUAUGCGUUCGAGAAUUCUUAAGCAUCUCACGGGCAAAUAUAUCUUCGUGUGACGACGGAACCAUUUGUCUUUCACUACCGAUCAACCAAACAAAACCAGAGAAAGAAAAAAAGAAAGAAAAAAAGAUGGAAUCGAGUCGCCGUCGGCGGAAAAGAAGCUAAGCCGUUUGUAUCGGCAGAUGCAGAAAGAUAGAUAGAUACCUGGGUAAAGAGCAGCGAUGCGGCUGCCAUCUCCAGUGCUGGUAGCCGGAGUCGGGCCUGCCGUGCGUCUGGCAUGUCAGCUGGGGCUGGAUGUAGGGGCAGUCCUCCUCGCCGUAGUGCGGCCUCGAUAACUCGUCGUACACCCAUUCCCCCGCGAAGACAUCGCAUCCCUCCUCCGUCUUCCCCACCGCGAACGGCACCACCGCCUCGUCCUUCUCUGUUCCGAAUCAACAUCGACUCGGUCAGUCAGUCAGGCUAUUCAUCCAUACGCAGUAAUUCACAACGAAGUCUCGUUUCCUUUCUCUCUUUCGAACCUCUCGGGACUCUUCCUUGCUGCUGCUGCUGCGGCGGUGGAUCAUCUGGUCGCCGGAAUGGAGUGCCGAGGAUGCACGUGAAGUCCUCGCCGUAGAGGACGAUCACGAAGGCGACGAAGGAGAAGACGAAAAGACGGGUGCGGAGGUUGCGCCUUCUAUGGGGGAACGGCGACUUCAUCGACGCACACCCAGCGACGCAGCUUUUGGUCGGCCUCUCCAGAUUGCGAAGGCAUUCAUUGAAGGCUUCCGGUGGCCUCUUAAUUAAAUGGUCACAAGGCUGUAUACAUGAUUUGACAUAUUUAUCCUUGUGAAUAUAUAUAUUUUUUUAUGAAAAUAAAACUAUAUAUAUAUAUUUAUUUAUUACUAUACAUAUAUAUAUAUUCGAACUUGACAUAUAUCAUUGCACGACAAUACAAAUUAUUCUUCAAUACAAUUUUUAUUUUUCAUGAGAUUAAAAGGGAUUCAGAGUCGAGAUUCCUUAUCUGAGAAUAAAUUAUUAUUAUUAUUAUUAUUAGUUCACAAGGAAACAACCAAAGGAGUGCAGGGGGAGUGUAGGGGGACAGGUCACGCAUGGAUCCCUCGCUGUGGUGACAACCGUCCAUCUAAUAAGAUACUAAGAAGGAAAAUUCAAUGAAGUUUACAAGUUCACAAUGCUCUCUCUCUCUCUCUCUCUCUCUCUCUCUCUCAUGUAAGUAAACUUCUCCAUGACGAAAACAUAGGAUAUUGGGCAUGAAUCGGUCCAUGUGAAGGCCAUAUAUUUUGGCAGUAGCAUCGUUGGUAGGCAGAGUCAUUUGCCAUCGCACGGCAUGAUUCUAAUGUUUUGAUCCAAGUCUGACACAAAGAAACAAGACAAAAAAAAAAAAGGAUCAUUUUGGCGGAAUAAAUGAGAAAUAUGUGCGCCGAACGAAUGAGAAAUAUGGGCUCAUUCAUUUUUGUUCUCUCAUGUCCGGAGAAAGUGGGGCCGCGUGUUCCGUCGAUUUCAACAUGGCAUUAUGAAGCUACAUAGGUUGGUGAAUCAGCGUAUGUAUGUAAUGGGACGAGAACACAUUAAAGGUGGUGGUGGUGGGGUUGGGGUGGUUGGCUUUUUGGUGGGGAAAGUAAUAUUUAAUUUGAUGCACACGUCAACGUUUAAGUCCAAUUAGUUGGGUGACAUGCAUGUUAGGACGGUAGCAUUGAUUUAAACUCGUGACGUCUAUGCAAUGGGCUUUCCUUUUAGAAUGAAAUUUAGAUUACCUUAAAGACUUGUAUUCCAUGCUUCUCGAGGGUUUAAAUGAGCUAAUUUUACAUCCAUAUGAUGAAACUUUUUGAACUCCUAAUAAAAUUAGCUACGAAACACAUGAAACUAUUUAUAUUCAACAAAUCAUUUUGCUAGGUUGAGUAUUUUAAAAUAAUUAAUAAAAAUCAAGGGAGAUUUUAAGAUUGUUGCUUGUUCAAAAUCUUGAAGAGGACCUUGCUAUUUUUUUUAACUUCUAAUAUUGAUGUUUUAGUUGAAUAGCAUGUUUAAUUUUAAUCUUAAUUAUCAUCGAUUUUACCUAGCCAAUAAGAUGCUCAAAUUAGUUCCAAACUAAAGGUGAGAGUUUUGAGUAAAUAUUAAUUGUCCUCAAUUAUAACGAGUUUUUAUGGUAUAUUAAAUUCAGAAGAAUAUUCUAUAGUAUUAUUGGAAUUUUUUUAAAAAUUAACAUCCACAUGGCUCGAUUGUUGGCUAUGACUUAUUCCUACUAGCUAAUUGUUGUUACCUCAUGUUCGAGCUAUGAUUGAGCGAAUUCAUUUUCUCUAUCAUUUAUCCUCUAGAAAGUAUAGUUCGAGAGCUUUCUCAAAGAGAUUUGGAAGUACAACCAAGUGUGGCUUGGCACACUAUUGAUCAAUGCAUUAGACACCAUCCAAGCCUAUCUCGAGGGAGAUGACUUGAGUGCUUUCCCAAAAGGGUGUAUCUGAAAUAUUUUUUAUGCUUAACUCGAGAGGAAUCCAUUACACAUAUUGUUUUUCCUUAGCCUGAUAAAGAUGUAUCGGGCAUAUUUUUAUGCUUAGUCCGAGAAAAAUAUAUUAGAUAUAUAUUUUAUACUUAGUUCGAAAAGAACACAUCGAGUAUAUUUUCGAUGCGUAAACCAAGAAAGACAUUUCGGACAUAUAUUUGAUGCUUAGUCUAAGAAAGACACAUCAAAUGUAUUUUCAAUGCUUGGCCCGAGGAUAACUUAUUGAAAAUAUUUUCAAUGCUUAGAUCAAGAAAAAUGCAUCGAAUGUAUUAUGAAAAGUAUAUCGAGUGCAUUUAUGAUAUUUGAUGCUUAGAUCAAGAAAAAUGCAUCGAAUGUAUUAUGAAAAGUAUAUCGAGUGCAUUUAUGAUAUUUGAUGCUUAGACCAAGAAAGAUACAUCGGAUGCAUUUUCAAUGCUUAACUCAAGAAGAAUACAUCAAAUAUAUUUUCAAUAUUUAGCCUAAGAAAGUCAUAUCAGAUAUGUUUAUGAUGCUUGGUCCCGAGAAAAAUGUAUCAGACACUUUUUUUUUUAUGUUGAACUCAAGAGCUCAUUUUCGAUCCUUGACCUAAGAUAGUACACAAUAUAUAUAUAUAUAUAUAUAUAUAUAUAUAUAUAUAUAUAUAUAUAUAUAUAUAUAUAUAUAUAACCUAACGCUAUCAUGAAAACAACAAUCGACACGAUUUUAUUGGUAAAAAUAUUUAGUAUAUUUUUUUCCUUGUCUUUUUCUUCGUAUUGUAUUGUGGCUUAUGGACAACAGUAUGUCAAAGGAAACCGGUGCUCGGCUCAGACUUAAGCUGAACUAUCAUUGUCAUUGUCAGUGCAAUUGAUGACACUUGCCAACAAGUCAAAUCGUAAGGUUUGGUACACCCAAUUCCAACCUUGGCGACACUCGAAACAUUAAUUCCCAACCACACCAUGUACAAAGAAGAUGUGAAACACAACUGAAUAGUACGAUCGGCAUAGAUAGAUGAUGAGUUAAUUUGUGAUCCAUGAAAUUUAUUCUUAAAAAUGUUGGAGUGAUCGAGUCCGAACGAUAAGAAUCUUUGGUGAACGAAAUGUAAGGGUGGGUAGUGAGUUUUCUAUUCGUUUCUAUCGUUAUAAUUACGUCCUUUUCUAAAAGAAACCAACAUUAAUUAGAAUCACUUAUGUAGCAUUGACCAAACUUUGAAUGUGCGCGAUUUAGGUGAGGAGAGGAAGCAACUUCCAUUAGGUAAGAGGACUAUAGUAUUCGUGAACAAAUGUGUCGUGACUGAUUAGUCAGUAUAGUUUGGUCCACGAGUCGAUGUCGGGAGCUUUUUGUCGGCUAAACUGGAUGUCGAGGUAGGCCAGGGCCUCUCGAUAGGGUGUUAAUCGACGUUCCUCAGUCAGGGCACUGUUUGCGUUGAGCAACGUCUUCUCCGUCUCCAAGCUGGUCGAUAGCUCACCUUUGUAUACUAGAUGGCAAUUCCCAUGUUGAGAUGCUCGCGGCUCGAUGGUGGUCGUUUUCCUACAAAAAUGACAUUCGUCGAGUGAUUUUCGACUUUGGCCCCUCCGACAAGUUGACGCGUGGGGGUGAAACAUCGUCCCGAGCUUCCGGGACGGGAUAUACCAAACAACGUAUUGGUACGGGUUCUGACUUAGCACGUGGGGAUGCUUCCCUUGCUGACUCGGUUAUAACGCAACGUGACAUCGAUUGUGACAUGUCUUAGACCCAUAAUAUACUAACAUUAACUUGCAUUAGUAUUAGUGCAACUUCGAGUUGGCAUAGCUUGAACGUGUAAGAACAGCACGUCUGCGACAGUCCUUUAAUUAAAGUAAAGUGCGAGGACUGUCCUCACAUCAUUUAUCGUAUCGGGUGGGUUCAUGUGCCGCACGUAAUAAAGAGGCCGACCGGCGAGGCACGCAGAACAGGAGUUGUUGGAGGCAUUCAUGCCAUCUGAGCUGGUGGGGGAAAGACGCGAAAAGAGGUUGUGCAGGCGUUAAUUACUCCUCCACGUUCCACAGUAUAUAUAUAUAUAUAUAUAUAUAUAUAUAUAUAUAUAUAUAUAUAUAUAUAUAUAUAGGAUUAAAUAUUAAUUUAAUUUAACAACUUAAGCUUUUAGGUUAUGGAUUAAACGUAGUGGUAUGGAACUUUCUUCUGAUAACGAUUGCAACAUUAUUUCCAACAACUGUGAGAACGUUGUCUGUUUAUUUAUUAACUUUGUAAUGUAUCUGAUCAAGAUUAAUGGACAUUUCCAAUUGGUUGCUAUGGACAUGAUCGAUAGAAGGAUUUGAUGGUCUUCAACUCAUUGACCAGAUCUAGAGAUGUUUGCUUUCUUUCAGUCGCUUGUGCUUGAAUUCAAUUUAAUUAAAUUUAUUUAUUAGUGUUGAUAAAUAAUGUUGAUAUCAAUUUGGAUGUGCUAUUUGUUUACGUAGAAUUUUAAAUUUUUUAUAAAUCAUAAGAGUUUAAGUAUUUUCACUAGUAAGGAUUUGAAUAUGAGACAGAAAAGAUAAUCAAUUUUGUAAAAGAUUAUGAUUUUAAUAUUAACUAUUAUUCUAAAAAGAUUAAAGUCUUAUAGUUUAUAUAAAUAUUCAAAGAAAUUUUGAUGAUGAUAAAUUUGAUAUAUAUAAAGAUUGAAUUUUUAACCAAGAUAAAUAAAGAUUUCUUUUGAUAUUCUUGAUGGCAUAAUUAUUUUUGGUAGAAGAUAUUAAAGAAAGUCAUUCAUUAAAAAUGCAAAUAUCAAAAGAGACCCACAUAUCAAGAUUUAAUAUCUAUUCUAUAACUAUCAAGAUGUUUGCAUUAACUGGUGAUAUAGUAUAAAGAGAUAUAGUAAAGUUUAUCUCUAAAUAUGUGAUUUGCUAAUAGUGAAGAUAAAAUAUCUAAUACCUACUAGAAGAUUGUAAAAGAUUUUAUUUCCCGAGUUAAAUGAAAAUAUGUUACUAUAGAUUUUUUAAUAGGACUAUCCAGGACUACGAAAUAAUACAAUGAAAUUUAGGUAGUAGUGGACAGACUCAAUAAAUUUAUUCAUUUUUUUUUCUAAGAAGUAUCCCUUGGAUAAGCUAACAAGUUUUUAUAUUAAGGAGAUCAUUACACUAUCUCAAAUAGAUAUCAAAGAUUUACCUUCAAGUUUUGAAAAAGUUUAUAGAAAUCCUUGGGCACUUUAUACCUAAUUGAGUUUGCUUAUAAUGAUAGCUAUCACUCUAGUAGAAACUUUUUAUAAGGAAAAAAUACAAAUUACUUAUGUACUGGGACGACAAAGUGGGAUAAUAAAAACUUUUCAAAUCUCAAUUGAUUUAAAGAGAUGUUAAUAAUAUUUGAAUUAUAGUGAAGAGAUUUGGAAUUCAAAGCUAGUGAUCAAAACUUUUUAAAGGUAUCACCAACCAAAAGAGUUAUGAGAUUUAUCUAAAGAGAGAAGUUGACGUAUAUUAAUUAGCUCAUUUGAGAUCUCAUAUCUAUAGCAUAUAGAUUGGCAUUACCCUUGAAUUUAGCUCACAUUGUAUUCCUCGUCUCUAUAUUUUAGAGGUAUAUUAAAGAUUCAUCUUAUAUUAUAUCCUACCAACUUUACGACUAAUAAAUGAUGUCACCUUCGUAGAGUAACCAAUCUAGAUCUUCAAUAUAUAUAUAUAUAUAUAUAUAUUGAGGAAUAAAAUUAUAUCCCGGGCAAAGAACUAUUUGCAAAACCAUUCAAAUCAAGAGGUAAUUUAGACCAAAUUUCUUUUAACAUGAGAGAAAUGAUCAAAUCUUCAAUUUAGACUUAUAAAUUAAAUAAAAAUAAAGGUUAAAUACAUAUAAAAAUAAAAAAUCUUACCUUAUGUGGAGAGCUCACCUCCUCCUAUUUAAAGAGAGAGAUUCAUCUUCUUUCCUUCUUUCUGAACCAAGCCUAAUAGUACAAAGAACUAGGAGUUGCAUCUUUUUAAGAAAAGGUAGGUUCUUAUGUCCAAAAAAUAAUUUGUCUGUUUUAAAUGUUGAAAAAUUUAUUUUUAGAUUAAAAUAUAUUAUAAUUAUACAUGCUAUAUGUAAUUUCUAAAUUUUUUCUAUUCCUUUAAUUGUUUGAAAUUUUAUUAUUAGAUUAAAAUAUUUUUAUAAUUAUUCAUGUUAAGUAAAAUUUUAAAAUUUUUUAUACAUUUUAAAGGUUUAAAAUUUUAUUUUAGGAUUAAAACUUAUUAGAAUUAUUCAUAUUAUAUGAUGUUUCUAAAAUUUUAUCUUAAAUGCAUGAUAUUUGAUUUUCAUUAGAUUUAUAUAGUACUUGAUUAAAAAUAUUAUUUUCUUUUUUUAUGUAAUUUUAUUUUUUAAAUAUACUAUUAUUUAUUAUAUUUUAAUUACUCAAUGCUAAUGAAUAAUUUUUUAUUAUAAUUCUAUGAUGUCAUAAUUUAGAAUUAGGGGAGUUGGUUAUAAUUUGAAUUCAAAUCAACUAGCCGACUAAGCCUAGCUAAUAGGCUAGGCCAACCAAUAAGCUUCAACUCAUAAGUCAGCCUCAACCCUAAUCUAUUUUAAAGGACUGCUAUAGAAAUAAUAUCAACACUAAUCUCCAUAACAAACAUAUGGAUAACGAUAGUUGGGACCUAAAUGGAGAAGUCAAGGUCUAUGUUCUCACCCAUUAAGAUAGUGAACUUUUAGAAUCUAUAAGUUAUAAUCACACUCUAUAAAAUGUUUGCUACUAUACUUAUGGAUUCCGAUUUUAUAUAUACUUUUAGAUCAUCUCAUUUUGCUAUAAGACUGUAUAAAAAUUCUAGGAUAAUGAGUAAUACACUAAUGGUAGCAACACUAGUUAAAAAUUCUAUAAUAACUAAUUAUAUAUUUAAAAACUAUAUUAUUGCCAUUAAAAGUCAUGAUUUGGUUGUGAACCUUAUUCUACUAGAGUUUUAGGACUUCGUUGUUAUUUUUGAUAUGAACGAGCUUUCAACAUACCAUAUAAGUGAUGAUUAUUUUUUAAAUAUUAUUGUUUUCUCACACCUAGAUUAAUCAUCCUUUAAGCUCAUUGGAAAUCAAAAAAAUCCUCCUCUUAUUAUUUAAGCAUUGAGUGAUAUCCAAUUAUUAUUAAAAGGAUGUUAAGAGUACUUACUCAUCAUUUCUAAAGAAGAAUUGAAGAUGUUAGUAUUAAAGGACAUCCAUAUUAUAUAAGAUUUUUAAAAGAAUUUUUAAAAAUAAUUAUGCUUUUGUCCGAUUGACAAAGAACAAUGUGAAGUUUUAUAUAGAAUGAUAAGUGUCAAUAACAUUGAUGGGCUACUUAGCCUAUCAAACCUAAAUCAUGACAUUUUGUAUUAGAAUUAAUUUAUAUUUAUCUAUAUUUGAUCAUAGUGGAAGGGCUCAAAUAGAAAAGGACUACAUGUGGAUUAAGUCAGAUGACUCGUCACGACGUAGAGUUACCAUUGUAUUAUACCUAAUAUGCAUCAUAUUAGGAUUUGAACUAGGUUAUGUUGGACCUCGAUAAGAAUAUCAAGUGCUAGAAGGAGAAAAAUCGUAAUAUCCUGAUUAGUCCCACAUUAAAAAUAAAAAUAUUAAAAUUAAUUUAUAAAAAUUUGAUGGAUAUAUUAUUAUCAACUCUAAUUUAAUUAUUUUAAUUAGUAAUUUAAAUCAAAUAAAAUUAUGAUACAGUCAGCGUCGAAAAAGAUUUGUUACUAAAUCAAUUACAUUCAUAAUGAAAUCUUUAAUAGAAUUUGAUUAUAUAUCAAAUUGACUCUUUCUUUCUAUCUUUCUUUUCCAUUUUAUUGCUCGAGUACUAUUUGUCAGAAAUGGGGGGUCUCAUGAAAUCCAAACGGAGGACGAAUGGGGCCACAACGCUCGAGUACUCUCUGGCACAAAAUGGGGAGUCUCAAGUAAUCCAAAUGGAGGAGGACCAAUGGGGCCACUAAUGGACCUGCAACAAUGUCUCGAGUUUCCACACAUCAACUGCAGUCCUCAAGUGGAGAUUGAAUCGGUCACAUGAAUUAAUGAACCGGACAUUGUUGCAGAUGGACACUUGUGAUUUAUAUCCGAGCAGCUGUCCCAAUCCAAUCUUGCCAUUGAUGUCAUUGUGGCCCUCAUCACAUUCUCCAAUUUGUUCUCGGUAGCACUCCUAAAAAGUAAUUUCCACUAGCAUCACAAAUUUCACAGACAACUAUAAUAAUAACGAUGCAAAAAUUAUCUAUCGUACAGAGUACAAAUGGUUCUAAGACCACUUGGCAAGAAUAGACAUGAGUGCUGCUCCCAGAAGGAGAGAGAUGUUCAUGGCAAGUUGUAAUUUGGGUUUGCUCUGCACCCUCGGAUUCGUAAAAUCUUGGGCAAGCAGAUCAACGAGGGCCAUAUAAAUCAAGAUUCCGGCGGAGGCAGAAUCCAGAAGACCUUCGACGACGAGAGCUGUGGGACUGUUUUCGUCGUACACCGAUGAUGUUCCCAUACCUACCGCAAUCCCAACCGGUGUCGUGAGGGAGAAGAAGAGCCCCAUCGUUACCAUUGACUUCAUUUGGUACUUCGCCUGCGACACAAAACCACAAUGCUUUCGCUAGCAAAAAUCAAUCGAAUUUUGAUGUGGCAUUUUUAUGUAAAUCGAUCAUGGCUAGUCUAACCCAACACUCCUCAUUUGAGUUACCUGCACGAUGCAUCCUCCGAGCCCUACACCCUCAAAGAACUGAUGAAAGCUGAGAGCGGCCAGCAGAGACCUUAUCGUAGAUGGAGUCUCCGAUGCGCCCAAGGAAAUCCCAAUUAUUACAGAAUGAACCACGAUGCCGAGCUCCAAAACCUGUGUUGUGCACCCAUCGAAAUCAAAAUCUCUCUGACUGCUUCACGAAGAAAGCACCGAAGAAAUUAUCAACUUGUGCCUCGUUAGAGCAAGCAGUUCAGUGAUUUUACCUGAGAGAUAACGCGAUGGCGGAUCAGCUGCUGAGCCGAAGGAUCCUCGUGAAUGUGACCGUGAUUUGCAUGGCUAUGUACGUGAACGUCGUUGUGCCCGUGCAUGCCGUGGGGAGCCUCCAUGUCGGCCUUGGUCUCAUCGGUCACGGCCGCCGUCCGAGCCCUAGCGCUGUGCGAGCGGCUAAAGUAUCCGGUGGCCACAGUGUCCAUCAUCAGCGUCGCGAUCGCGGCGACCAUCGCGCCGAACCCAGCAAACGGAAACUUCUGCCAAGGACUCGGAUCGAGACACGAGGAGGUGAGGCCGUCGAAAGCGUCGGGGAGGAUGUGGACGAAGCCGGUGGCGAGAAUGACACCGGCAGCGAACGACUUGAUGACGAAGAAGACAUCCUUUUCCGGGUGAAGAGCGGGCCACCAUUUGCCUAAGAUGGGGAUGCAGACGCCGAUACUGCCGCACACAAGGAUGGAAAAUAUCGCUGCAAUCUUCAGCGGGAGGGCCUUCUUCUUGUCACGGCCCGCCUCAUCGGUGGAGCACUCGCAGUCGCCGUGAACAAGCAGAGGAAGAAGAACCACCGCGAGGAAGAAGACCGAGGCACCUCUCAUCAUCAUCUUCCCGGCGCUUGGAGAGAGUCUUGCAAUGGAUUGCCGGGAGGCUGGAGCCGCGUUUGUGUAGAUGGUGGGGUGGGAAGGAGGGGGUUUCGAGGGAAAGAUGCAGCAAUCGAUGAGCACAUGAGUGUCUCCAAACGUUGACUCCGAUGAGGAUAGGAUUUGUGGGCUCGUCUUGUAGCGAGAGAGUGAGGCUCUUCUUUUGUGCAUCAUUCUUCUUCUUCUUCUUUACGUCGUCCAACAUAUAAUAAUACCUUCAUCUCUGCUUCUGCGAUUGAUGUAUUGAAUUCAAGGCAUCAACAUGUUUGUAAAGUGGAGAUCGUCGAUGGGUGCUUCCGUCGGUUGAUAAAUUACUUCUGUGGGUGUCGACACUGUGUUGUCAUUCGGACAGCAGUUUGUUUAUAAUAACGCUCGGCGCCGUGUACGGUGAUAUUAUAUUUAUAUAUAUAAAUAAAAGAGCAAAUAAAUAACCAACGAACUAAUCGAGAACACAGUGGAAAUGAUGCAGCACACGAAUCUUGAAGUCGGAGGAGACAGGUUUUGAUAGUGUAAACAACUUUAUGCUGUGGCCUCGGGACCGACGCGGCUUGGUCGGGGGUCCGAAUGACGGGGAUCUCGCGUAGCGUCCCUCAAGAUCUCUCAGUGGCCGAUCACGGCGGUCCGGUCGGGAUGUCGCAUCGGGAGGAAAGCUUUUGCCACGACGCCGGGGAUAGGCAACCCCGUUCUCGCACCUGCACAUAGGUCAAGUCGGAAGCUCGGCCCGACCCCUCCGACGAUCAAGUCAGUGGAUGCGGAGGGGAUUUUUGUAUGAAGAAGUGCUCUCCCCAUUCAUUUAGAACUUUGAGGUAUUUAUAGGUGAGUUUAGUAUUACCUGAUGUGCCUGCCUGCAGGAGCAGGACCGUACCUCUGAUGGCGUCUGACAUUGCCGUUGGUGUUGCUUGGAGAACCGAAUUGCCGCAGGGUAUGGGCGAGCCUCGGUCGUCGUCCCCCUCUGCCUCGGCCAAGCGCGCGGGGUUAGGCAACGAGGAAGUCGUUAUCUGAGAGCGGGUGACGUCGGCGCACAUCGAGUCGGCAUUAUUGCCCUCCUCCUCGGGCAGAGUGUCGCCCAGGCGUGACUAACGUCGUGGCACGUCAUGUCGCCAUUAUUACCCUCAUCAGGUUUUGUCUCUUGUCGCGGGCUCGAAGGUUGUGGAGCAUGUGAACAUGUACCUAAAUUGCAUUGCACUGUUGGCUCAGCAGUACCUCUCUCUAUGUUGGGCCAUGAAUGAAUACCCACUGGUCUCGAUGACCUUUUUGACCGAGAUUAAGCACACGCCGUGCUCAGGCCGAUCAGACGCCCACGGCUGUGUAAGCUAGUGUUCCCAAAUAGUCAUUAGCAACCAUCGACGGUCAAAUAAAUUGCUUCGCAAGUAACAUCAGCAUUCUAGAAGCGGCCUUCAGGCUUUCGUUUCCGUGUCUCUCUUGUCUCGUCUCCUUCAACCUCCGCACAUGGAUUCUUCAAACCUUUGAAUGCGACAGGGCUGGGAGAUGGAGGAAUCGCGGAGCAGGCGAACGGGAAGAGACGUGCCGUGGCGGCUCACGAACCUCAUCCACAAGGCGCGCGAGGUCACCACACGCCUCCUCCACUGAUGAUUACGAUCGCCGUGACUGUGAAGUUUGGCCGCCAUCGAUUCCUCAAACUACUAUUCAGCGUAGGAAUCCAACUGUUUUAUUCUUUUACGACAUCGACUUUCUUUCCAAUUGAAUUCAUAUAUUAUAUUCUUUGUUAAUCUAUUAUAAAUCGAAGAUGCUCAUAUAAACUAGGACAAGUGCAAUCCACGAAUGUGAUUGUCUUCUUGUUCUUGGAUUUGAUUUGUGAAUAUAUAUAUGUUAGUGUAAACAACCUUAAGCCGUGGCCUCAGGACCGACGCGGUUUGGUUCAGGUCCGGAUGACGGGGAUCUCCCUGGGACAUUCCUCGAAACUACUGAGGUGGCCGAUUACGGUGGUCCGAUCGGGACGGGGUCGCCGUUUCCUCUGGGCAAGAACUCCUCGCCUGCACGUCCAGUGGGGACCUUCGGCAUCGCAUCUACACAAAGAUCAAGUCGGGGAGCUUGGCCCAACCCUUCCGACAAUCAAGUCAGUGAGUGAUAAAGGGGGUUUCUUGGCUGUCCUCCUCCUCUCGUUUAGAAUGCGAGGGUAUUUAUAGUGAAGCUUACUGUUUCCUGAUGUGCCCACUUGCGGGGGGCAGGCUCGUACUCCUGGUAGCGUCUGACACUGGUAUUAGCGUGGCGUGAAGGACCGAGGCUGAGCAGGAUGUUUAACGUGCCUCGGUCGACGUUCCAAUCCGUUUGACCAGGUGGUGUCAA
This 65322-nucleotide long non-coding RNA is filed under the name Musa acuminata (dwarf banana). Its description in RNAcentral is "long non-coding RNA (MACU_LNC006797)". Lineage: Eukaryota; Viridiplantae; Streptophyta; Magnoliopsida; Zingiberales; Musaceae. The record is from RNAcentral.